This 63475-nucleotide long non-coding RNA is filed under the name Ananas comosus (pineapple). RNAcentral describes it as "long non-coding RNA (ACOM_LNC006005)". Lineage: Eukaryota; Viridiplantae; Streptophyta; Magnoliopsida; Poales; Bromeliaceae. The record is from RNAcentral.
AUGUCUUGUACUAAAGGAAGCAUGUUCAAUGCUUGUAGGCAAUUAGACGUAUUCUCAAUCGAAGAAUAGCUCAUAUCAAUAUGAAGUAGAGAGGUGAGUCGAGAAAGCCAAUUAGCGUUACUCAAUGUAAGUGGAUUACCAGAAAGAUCCAGAAUUUGAAGUCUUGAGAGAUUUCCGAGCUGAUCGGGUACCGUCCCAAAAAAAUACGACUGAGAUAUGUUAAGAUAGUUUAACUUCUCGAACGAACCGAUCCACUGGGGAAUCGAUAUGCCUGCAAAGUAAUUGCUGCUGAGAUCCAAAUAGCUCAGUUGCUUAAGACGGAGCAAAGAAGGAUUGAUUUUGUUGCCGACAAGUUCUCUCCCUUGAAGAUCUAAAUGCACGAUGUGUCCGGUUCGGUUGUCGCACUCCACGCCUUCCCAUUUGCAGCAAUUUUUUCCCUCCCAAGAAAAGAAGACAGCUGCAGUUCGGUUGAAACCUCCGGCAAACCUCAGAAGUGCUUCCCUCUCGGCAUCUGGGCAACUCAUAUUAGAAGAUUUGAAUGCCACAGCAUAUGCAAACGAGAGGAACAACAGCAAAGCUCUUUUUAUUGCUUUGUAAUAAUCCAUUCUCAGAAUUUCUUCUUCUUCUUCUUCUUUUUUUUCUUUUUUUUUUUUUUUUUUUUUUUGUUUUCCCCGAUUUUUUUUUCUUUUUUUUUAGCAGUGCCUCACGUUGGAUUUAUAGUUACCAAAGCUUAUAGGCUAAAAAGUCAGUCAACACGAAGUUGCACCGAAAUGCCACCAUAAAAUGCUUCCCACUUUGUUGACGAGGGUGUUUAAUUUUCCAAGAUGACUUAGACUUCACCAUUAUGGAAAAGCCGAAAGCUAAUUUAAUAAAGAGACAAUCUAUAAUAUCUAUAAUCUAUAAUAACAUACAUGAAUUCUCAGUUUUGGAACAGGUGGCGAGCGUGGAGGCGUGGGCAGGGGCGAGCGCGGGGCGCGGGCAGGCGGGCGCGCGUGGCGGGGCGCCUCGUGGCGCGGGCACGCGGGGCGCGGGCAGGAAGCGCGAGCCGGCGCAAGGCGCGGCGGGACAGGUGGCGGCGAGCGAAGCGCGGCAGGGGCGAGCGUGGGGCGCGGGCCGGCGGGCGUGCGUGGCGGGGCCGCCGCGUGGCGCGGGCGAGCGGGCUGCGCGGCAGGCGGCACGUGGGCGGGCCACGUGCGCGGGGGAGAGGAGAGGGAGAGGAGAGGAGAGGCGGGCGCACGUGGGCGCGGGCGCGCGGGGCGCGCGCAGGCGGGCGAGCUCGCGGGCCGCCGCGUGCGCGGGCGAGAGGACGGGGAGAGGAGAGGAGAGGAGCGAGAGGAGAGGCGGGCCCAGCUAGGAGAGCAGAGAAGGUAGAGAGAAGGGAUUUUUUUUUUUUUUUUUUUGUCUCUUUUUGUCUCUUUCUACUUUUUCUUUUUUAUUUUUAUUUUAUAAUAUUGUUCUCUUAAUAUAUGAUUAAAAAAUUUAUAAAUUUUUUAAUUCAAUUAAAAUUUUAUUUAUUUUUAUAAAAAUUUAAAAUAUAUAAAUAAUUUUAAAUAAGUUAAUUAUUUGUAUUCAAUAUAAAUUUUAAUUAAGAUGAAUUAAAGAAUUAUUAAAAAUAGAUAAAAAAUAAGGAAGGAUUUAAAAAUGAAACAUUAAAAAAGUAAAAAAAAUAAAAAUAAAAGAAUAAGAUAGAUAGAAGAAAGAAUAGAGAGCAAAAUGUAAGAACAAUAAAUUAAUUUUUCUAAAAAUUAUAUAUAAUUAUAAUAAUAAUUAUAAUAUAUAUAAUUAUAAAUAUAAUUAUAUAUAAUUUCUUAUUAGUAUGAUUUUUAUCUUUAUUUUUUUAAUCUUUCUUAUAAUUUAUUUUUAUAAUUUUAUUACAGCAAUAGUUGUUUAUUUUUUAGUUAUUUUUUUAUAUAAUUUUUUGACUCCUUAUUUUUAUUAUUAUUUAUUUUAUUUAUAUAUUUAUUUCUGCAAAAUCAUCCCGCCGCAACGCGCGGGUCCUUCACUAGUUAUCAAUAUAUCCCUCUCAAAUUCUCACCUGUUAUAUAUUGCGCUGAAAAACAUCUGUUCCUAAAUAUAUCUUCCAAAAUUUUUAAAUAAAAAUUAAAAGAAAAUCAAAUCCUUGGAUUCGGUUGGGUCUGAAUAAUUAAUAUACUAUAUACCAAUAUUCUAAAAGGAAAUAUGUAAAAAAAACAUACCCUGUCAUUUAACAUCCGGGCGGCACUCGAUCUACAUAUUUAAGUUAUUAAUGCACUUAUUGGGUCUAUUUGAACGAAUUUGAAUAGUGGCUGCCCACAUAAGCUCGAGUAUGGAUAAGGAUGUCCAGUACGGAUAUCCGAAAUUUUAUCCGAAACCAAAUCUGAAAAGAACGAAUUUAUUCAAUUCUAAACGGAAAUAGUUUUGGAUAUGAAUAUAAGAAACAAAAACUCAAAUAAUUUGGAUUCAGAUAUGAAUUUAUUUAUAUAUUUUUUGAAUUAUACUUUAAAAAUUUAGAUUUAAUGUUAUAUAUUUUAAAAUAUUGUAAAUAGAAAUAAUUGUUUCGGGUUCGGGUUUGGGCUCUGGUUUCGAAGAAGUUUAGGUAGGGCUGGCAAACGAGCGAGCCGGCUCGCGUUCGACUCGUGUUCGGCUCGAUAUUUGGCUUGCUCGAGCUCGACUCGAAAUUAAAUGAGCCGAGUUUGAACAAAAUAAAAGGCUCGAAAUUCAUUUCAAGCCGAGCUUGAGUAUUACUCGGCUCGUUCGAAUUAGGCUCGAAAAGCUCGAAAAGCUCGAAAAGCUCGAAAAUAUAUAUAUAUAUAUAUAUAGGCCGGGGCUACUAUACUCUUAUGAGUAUAGACCCCCUUGUACUCAUAAAUUUUUAACCGUUGAUUGAUGGGAUGUGUGGUUAGGAUGAUGGUGGUCCCACUUAAAAUGAUAGUGGUCCCCUAGAGUUGAGUGGGUAGUUGGUUGAAUAGUAUGAUCUAACGGAUGGAAAUGAUCAGUGAAAUAAAUCUAAGGGCCGAAAACUUAUGAGUAUAAAAGAGCCAAUACUCAUAAAAGUACAGUAGCCGGACUCUAUAGAUAUUUAUAUAUAUAUAUAUAAUGUAUUUUAAUUAUAUAUAGGCUUUAAUUUAAUUUGGGCCAUUAUUGUUGGCCCAUAAAAUAAACCCAACAAGUACAACCGUGCAAUUGAGCCCAACUCUAAAUUUACAUAACACACUCUCUCUUUCAGACUUUCACUGUUGCACAUAACCCUAAAAUAUGAUAAUAUUCAAAUUUCCAAAUCCCUAAUUUUUUUUCCUCUCUCUCUCUCUCUCUCUCUCUCUGACCCUCACCCAGUCAGGCAGUCACCCUAGCUCACAUUUCUUACAAUUAUUUUGUAUUUUGAACUAUUGAACAUAUUGUAUCAAAUUAUAGGUAAUGUUCUAUAAAAAUUAAACUAUUGAUUAUAUUAUGUCGAGAAUUUCAAUCGGCUCGUUUAGAGCUCGAGCUCGGCUCGACUCGAAAUUAGGCUCGCUCGAGUUCGGCUCGAAUUAAUUUCAAGCCGAGCUUGAGCCUAGAUUUAAGCUCGAAAUUAAUUUCAAGCCGAAUUUGAGAUGACAUAAGCUCGCUCGAGCUCGGCUCGUUUCCACCCCUAAGUUUAGGUCGGGGUCGUGUUUGGAUAUAGAUUUUUAAAAUCCAUCGGAUUGGGUUUAGAUUCGGGUUUCGGGUUUGGUAGUCGGGUUUGGAUUCAGUUUUUUGAAAAUUUGCUCUAAAUCCAACCCGUUGACAUCUCUAGGUACAGAUCGGACAAGGAUCGAGUCUAGAUCGAGUACAGAAACCUCUAUAUGUAUAUAUUGUAUAAAGCACAAAUAUUUAUUCUAUGGUAAGUGUAAAAUAAAAAUAUAAAUUUAUAAUAGAUACACCAUAAGUUCAAAACACAUGCAUGUAUUUUUUUGAGAAAAAGGUAGCACGCUACCUGCUUCAUUCAUUUAGAGGAUGAAUUAGGCUUACAUAAUGGAGGCAACCGGGGCCUCCGACGGGAGAAAGAGCGUCAAAAGCCAGAAAAACAAAGACAAGAAACGAAAACGACAAGAGACUAAAACCAAAAAAAAGAAGGAAAUGAGGGUAAGGGAAGCGAAAGCGACAAAUAACUAAAACCAAAAGAGGAAGAAAGAAAGUGUAAAAGCGACAGGCGUCAAACAGCAGGGAUCCAGCAGGGUCAACAAGGAGCGAUCCAGGUGUCAAGCAGCAGUUUUGCCCGUUCCAGGCACCGAGUAGGGUUGGGGGCAAUCUCUCGAAAGAUUAAACUAUUCCUUUUCGUCCAAACGACUCACCAAAUGGCAGAAAGGAGGGAGGGGGAAAUAAGUCUCUCUUUGGCGUCUCUUAGAUCAAUAAGUUUAGACCAGAGGUCUCUCACAUCGUCCGAGGGAUCAGUCAGAGCCUCCAAGCCGCCUACGCUCAGCAAAAUAAAGCGAACAAAGACACAGGAGCUUAUGAGGUGGUCGCAACUUUCCAAAUUAACGGCACAGAAAAAACAUGUUUGAUCCGCUAGCCACCCUUGCUUAUGGAGCCUGUCUGCAGUGGGGAUCCUCUUACGAAGUAGUAGCCAUAGGAAUACUUUGAUCUUGCCAGGGAUAUUCAAUUUCCAGAUAUGUUGACUUAGGGGGUCCACCAUGCCUGAGUCCGUGAGAAAGUGAUAAAGGGAUCUGACUGAAAACUUUUGGUUGGAGGUCCAACGCCAUUUGAUUAGGUCCGGAAGCUGAGUUGGCCGGAUGGGCCGAAGCAAGUCCAUAAGCAGGCCCUUUUGUCUAUGAUAGUUCACAGGUAGAGGCCCUGCUGGACCGCGGCAGAUAUAUUGCCACCGCCAGCCAUUAGGGCCCCAGCACUGAGCAAUAGUUGUCUCCUUGUUUCGGGUAUGACCGUAGAUGUCGGGGAAGAGAGUACGAAGGGGAGCCUCGCCGUACCAAAUUGAUGACCAAAUCUUAAUAUCUUUGCCGUUUCCGAGGUUGUAGGUUGUACCGCAUUUAAAGAUGUCCCGGCAUCGCAUUACACUUUUCCACCACUGAGAAUAUGGCACAAAGGCCCUGCCCUCAUGAAGAGGUUUGCGUCUAAUAUAAUAAAUCGAUUUGACUAACUUCUUCCAAGGUAGAUCUGGUUCGCUAAAGAAGCGCCACCACCAUUUAGUUAAAACCGCUGUAUUCAUAGUUGCCAAAUCCUUGAUUCCUAGGCCUCCUUCUUUUUUGCUUUUGCAGACUGCCCUCCAAUUUACGAGGCAUGCCCCUCCAGAUAUGUUUGUGCAUCCGCACCAAAAGAAAGCUCUCCUCAAGGCUUCAAUUCGGCGCAGAGCCCAUUGUGGAGCUUUAAAGACGGAGAGGAAGUGAAGUGGCAGAUUUGAAAGGACAGAGUUCACGAGGAUCAACCUCCCUCCUUGGGAGAGGAGCUUGGCCUUCCACCUUUCAAUUCUCUUAUAAUGCGGUUGAUAAUGAUCGACCAGUCCUCUUUUCGCAAAGAUCUAUUGCAAAGGGGUAGUCCCAGAUAGCGGAUAGGGAGGCUUCCAACUUGGCAGCCCAGGAUGUUAGCAAGCCUGGUAGCUCUAGAGGUGUUUGAGCCCAGGUAGUACAGUUCGGACUUGUCCAUAUUGAUUUGGAGUCCAGAGGCCCAUUCAUAAAAUUUCCAUAAGAAACGCAAAUUUCGCAGGAUAAAUUUCCUAGGCUCGCAGAAGAAGAUCGUGUCGUCGGCAAAUUGAAUCAGAAUAGUUUGACAGUCCGAAGUUGGGCCGAUUCCCCGAAGAAAGCUAUUCCUGCAGGCCAUGUCGGAAAGUCUGGAAAGACAAUCUGCAACAAUCAAGAAGAGAUAGGGGGAGAGAGGGUCGCCUUGCCGAAGACCCCUUCGUGUUUUCAGCCAGUUUGUAGGAGUGUCGUUCACAAGGAUGGCUAUUUUGGCGUUACAGACGCACUGUUCAAUCCAGGACCACCAUUUUUCACUAAACCCGAGCCAAAGCAUGAUUCCUUUCAGAAAGGGCCACCGAACGUUGUUGAAAGCCUUUUCAAAGUCUGCUUUGAGACUGACGCAUUCCUUCCUAGUUUUGGAGCACAAACUGAUUAGUUUGCAGGCGUUGACGAACGAGUCCGCAAGCAGUCGGUCUUUGAGGAAGGCCGAUUGGGAAGGAGAAAUAAUAGACGGUAGAACCAGGGCAAUCCUAUUCGCAAGAACUUUGGAAAUAAUUUUCUGGAUGCCGUUGAUGAGACUAAUUGGGCGAAAAUCCUUGGCCUGGCACGCGCUUUCUUUCUUGGGAAUGAGGCAGAUGAAGGAGUAGUCAAUCGGGGCUGUGGAAAGCGUGCCCCCUUGGAGAUCAAUGAAAAUCUUGUAAAUGUCGUCUUUAACGGUUUCCCAAAAAGUUUGGUAGAAGAUAAGUGGAAACCCAUUAGGUCCAGGAGCUUUAUCACUACCAAGUUGAAAAGUAGUAGCCUUAACUUCCUCCAUGUCGAAGGGGGCAGUUAGACACUCAGGUUGUAGUAGCGUGUUGGAUUGGAAGAGAGCGCUCCAAUCCCCGAAGGAGGAAGGUCCGUUCUCUGCCUGACCGAACAAUCGGUGGAAAUACUGAUAGAAAAAGUAUCUUUUGUGAUCCUCCGUGUUUAACAGUCUCCCAGUGUCAUCUUCUAUUACUUCAAUGGGGUUGGUGCGUUUCCUUCCGUUGGCCACAGCAUGGAAGUACUUGGUAUUAGCGUCCCCCUCCUUGAGCCAUAAUUGUUUGGACCUGGUUUUCCAGAGGACUUCCUCUUCUUCCAAAAUCUGUGUGAGGUUUGAUUUGAUACGUUCUCUCUUAUCGUGGAGAUCUAAGCUCAGAUCUUGGAGCUCUUCCAUCUGAUCAAUGGACUGAAGCUCAUCCAGAAGGGACUUCUUAGCUACGGUAAUAUUGUAAAAGUUCGAUUUGCACCAUUCCUUCAUACGAACUCUGCAGUGCCUCAGUUUAGCAGCAAUAGUGAGGAUCGCUGAUCCUUUAGGACUGACUUCGUUCCACCAUGUGGUACUUUGGAGAUAAAAUCCUCUUUCGUGAGCCAGACUUUCUCAAAACGAAAUCUACGCGUCGGAGGUGGGAGCCUAGAGUAGAGGAGGAUCGGAGUAUGAUCAGAGGUGAUUCUAGGGAAGGCUUUGGCCUUGCACAGUGGGUGAGAGAGGUCCCAUUCCGUGGAGACGAGGAACCUGUCUAGUUUUGCCAUGGUGGGUUGACGAUACAUGUUAGACCAAGUGAAGCUUUGAUUUGAAAGCGGAACAUCAAUGACCUUUAGGUUAUUGAUAAGAUCCGAGAACAUCUCCAUGGAUUUUCUACUCCAAGUACGUCCACUCCUUUCGGUUUGAUUUCUGGUGAAGUUAAAAUCCCCACAGAUGACCCAGCUGGUGCAGCAAAUAUCUUUGAGGGAAGCCAAUUCAGAACAGAAGGCGUCCUUACCCUCCCAGGUGGGGGGUCCGUAAACAUUAGUGAUGAAGAAGGUCGAGCCGCUCGCGUGAUGGGAGAGGCGUAUGGUAAGAGAGUACGAUCGAACAAUAACUUCUAGCCCAGCAAAGUAACUCGAGCACCAAUAGAUAAUAAGACCUCCUGAGGCCCCGACGACCGGCAAAAAGUGACAUUUAUCAAAACUAGAGCCACAACAUGAUCUAAGAAAAGACCGAGAUACAGAGUCGACUUUAGUUUCCUGGAGACAGACAACUGCACGGUAGUGCCUAGACACGAUAGAUUUAACUAGACAUCUUUUACGAGGAUCAUUGAGACCUCGAACGUUCCAACUAAGAAAGGAAGACAUCAAAAAGAGACGAUCCCCUUAGGAGCAACAUCAGAACAGUAAAAGGGAGAGAAACUAAGUUAAAUUAGACCCCGACGGACAGGAAGUUCUGAAGAUCCUUCGCUUCAGCAUCAGAUAUCGCUACUCCAAGCAGAAGACUCUUCUUCUUGAUUUUAGAGCGAGACAGAUUACGAGCGGAGCGGCCUGGUUCAGACGAGGAUCCUUCCAAUAGUUUAGCUUUCCUGUUCGUUGCUCGCUCGAGCACGUUGACAUCCGUCAGAUUCGAGAGUCUGGCGCUUACCUUAAGGGAGGUUAGGGCUCCGCCAGUCAGUUGGGAGGGGGAGGGCUCAGCAGAGUGGAGGGGGGGAGCAUGCUGGUAGGACAGAAGGAGCCCAAGGCCGGGCCACAGGAGGUAGGCAAGGUGGGAGGCAGCAAGUAGUCUCCGACCCCCGGGGAGGGAAGGCGCGUCAUGGGAGGGAGGGCGAGCCGGGGGGGCUUCGGGCUGGCAUGAGAGCUCAGGGGGUUCAAGCCCGGACUGAGGGAGCACCGAUCAGGGGAGCCCGAGGCCGGACUGUCCAGGGCGAGGCCCACGUUGGGUCCACAGAUGGGUUCCAGCAAGCGGAGGAGGCGGGCCGGGGGAAAAUCUGGCCGCGACCGGGGCCCCAGCCCAGGGGUACGGGCUGGCGAGAAGCCACAGUGCCAGCCGGGGGAGCCGCUCGACCUAGGCGGGGAGCACAGGCAGGCGCGGAGCUCGAUCGCGGGGAGCUGCGGACUGCCGCGGGAGGUGCUCGGCCAUGCGAGGAGGCUCGGCCGACAGUGAGGGAUCGCGUAGUCCAGGGUCAGAGGGAGCACUCAGGCAAGAUCAGGCCGAGCCGGCUCAUCCAAGGCCAGGCCUCAAGUUGGGCUCCACAGAUUGGUUCGAGCAGGCGUGGGAGCUCGGUAACCGGCGGGGGACUCGCGGCGGGGGAGCUUGGAACCUGGCGGGUAGGGCUCGGGCCGGCGGAGGAGGAGCUCGGCCGAGCGGGGAGCUUGGACCGGCGAGGGCUCGGGCCGUCGGAAGGUCCUAGAGUCCGAACAGAGGGAGCACAAGCAGAAAGGCAGAUGCGGCGGGGGACUUCGGACCGACGGGGGAGCACAGGCGCGGAUCGGUGAGAGCUCGGGCCGCGCUGGGUGGAUGCUCGAAACCGCUGGGGGAGCCGACACCGCAGGAGUGGCUCGUGGCGGCAAGUGUAAUAUACGAAAAAUUUCGGGUUGCGAUGCUAAUUUUAAUCUGGAAUAUUAAAGUGAAAUGUGAAUUGGAUGUGCAUCAUUCCAGAGUGUUUCUGGACGUGUGGGAAUGAUCUCUGGAGGUAAUUGGGUAUUCGGGCACAAAUCGGGCGCGAAAUGAACUUGAAAGGGAAUUUUCGGAUUAUGACGCUAACUUUAACCUACGCGAUCAAAGUGAGAUAUGAAUGUUAAUUAUAGUACCUCCGAAUUAUUUUGGAAGUGCGAGGAUAGUUAAUGACAAAUUCCGGAGAUGCUUGGAUGUUAAAAAAAUAAAAAAAAAGUCGGAUUUUGAUUACAUUGUUAAAUUUGGAACAAGUUGGUCGAAGUAAGGCCAAAAUAAAAUUAAUUUGCUUUCGAGCUUAAUUAGUAGCUUCGGCAUAGUGUUUAGUAUGAUUUGGAAGUGAUUAGAAAUAUUCGAGGCGAGGCAAGGUGGAAGAACGAAAUGGGUUGAUAAUGCUGCUGCUGCCAGAAAAUUCUGCAAGUGCAGAUUUUGCAUUGUGUACCUCAGUGAGGUACAGGUGUGUACCUCAGUGAGGUACAGGCCUUUAAAACCUGCAGCAGGGCUGAAAUGUACUUAUGUUGAAUUGAGGGGUUAAGUUGCAAUUUGUCAAGCUUAUCACCUAUUUCCAGCUGAGUGGCAUGUGUCCACGUAAUUGGACCCAACUCCUCUUCACUGGUUCUCAUCUUUAUCCCCUUCCUUAUCUCUUUACAAGCUUAGGGGAAUUGGUGGAGAGGGUGACAGCUUGGGUGUUUGAGGUUGUGACGAGUAGGGAAACCAGCAGAGGAGAAGUUAUAAUCAGAGGUAAGAGAUGGUUUCCAAUUAAUAAUCAAGUUAAAUGCACUAAGAGAGGUUCUCUAAGGUAAUUAAACUUGGUGUUAUGCUGUAGAUUAAUUGGAAGCUAUACAAGAGAAGGAAGUUGUUAAAGUGCUACCUUGGUAGAAAGGCUGCCAAGGAAGCUAAUGAAGCAGAAUUUAAGAUGUUGGAGCUGCCGAAUUGGAGCUGCCGCUGAGGAAGCUUUAGAACAAAAUUUUAAGUUGUUGGAAUUGAAAGUAACCAGAGGGAUUAUCAAAUUAAGGUAAAGUGUACUCGAUAAUUAAUUACAGUUCAUGUAAUUUCAUUAAAGAGGAGUUACAACAUUGAGGUUUGCUGCUGAAAUUGGCAGAUUUAGUGUGUAGGGCUUGUUGAAGCUGCCGAAGUGAGAAAUUCAACCUGGGAAGCUUUGAACCUGAGGUAAUUAAUGACUUCUCAGCGAGGGUCUAGUUUAAUUACUCCUUAAGAGAGAGUUCUAGAUAAAGUAAGCAUGUAAAGAAGCUUAAAGGAGCCUUUAAUUGGUUCAAGUGAAUAUAUGUAUGCAGGAAAUUUUCGAAUUGAGGGAAGCAAUGGUGCAGAAUUCCAGCAUGGUGCAGAUUUUGAGGUUGAGCUGAAAUUGUUGCCUUAUUAGAGCUUCUUUGGUGUCCAAACUAAAAGAGGACCAAGUGGAACUUCAAGCUCAGGUGAGAUUAAUGUAAGUUCCUGGGCUAAUGGGUGUUAAUUGUACUCUAUGCUGUAAUGACUACAAAGAGAGUAGUCAUGAGGCAGAUUUCAGCAUUGAAUUCUGUUUACUAUUGAAGCUGAUUUCUAAGUAAUUGAAGCUAAAAAAAAUGAAACUCUAGGAUGCUGGGAGCAACUUAGAAAGCUUCUAAUUCAGGUAAGAAUAGAAAUUAUCCCUGAUUUGAGUAGUGGAAUGUUAUAAAGAUAAUUUCUAAGUGAGUUGUGAAGCACAAUUUUUGAAAUUCAGCCUGAACUGAAUUUCAGCAUGAGAGGUAUUUGUUAUUGAGCUGAGAACUAUGUAAUUGGACAGCAAAUUAAGUCACUUAUAAUUAUGUUAUGAUUAGGAGUUAGAUUAGUUACUCUAGAAGAGUUCUAAGCAUAAGAACUAAUUGUUCUAUGCUUAUAAUAAAUGCUCGAAGAGGAGGUGAAAUGCUGAAAAUUCAGCAUGAAGCAAGAUUUCAGCAUAAUGCUGAAAAUUAACAUUGAGCUGAAACUUUAAGUAUUAUGGCUUCUAUGAGAUUUGCUUUAGUAAAUACUUAUGAGUAGUUGUUAAAAGGUGAAAUUGAACUAAGACCAUGAUAACUUUAUCUUAAAGUUGAUAAGAAGUUUGAGAGUGAGAUUAUACUGAUGUACAUGUGGAAAGUAUAUCUAUAUGUAUAUAAGUGCUUAGAAGUUGAAAUGCAAGUUUUGUUGAAAAUGAAUAUGACGUCGGUUUAAUCUCUCCUAUACUUAUUUGAAUGAAAGUUAAACUUGCUCGAAAGUCAAAAUUGAUAUUCCGACAGGUCGGCGACGCAUUAAUUACGGUAGAAGCCAAUUCGUCUCUAAUUGCAUCGAGUCGCGUGAUAUUGUUCUUGAUACACUUCAAGACGUGAGCUCUUAGUUGUUGACACCACUACAGGUGGGUGGUGCUAUCCGAAGUCUUUGAAUCACCUUUUAUGUCUAUGAUAAUUCAUUGAGCAUAUUUAUAUUUGUUGUCAUGCAUUAUAGGGUAUUGGCAUUGUGCAAGUGAAAGUAUGUAUUCCUAUCAAUAGUGAGAACAUGUGAACAUUAGAAUGUGAAUAUAGAACCCUAUGAAUGUAUGGACUAUAGCAAUAGUAAACUUGGUGACAUUCAACUAGAGAUUUGGUUAGCAUCGAGAAAUGGAAUUGUGAAACUAGCAUAAAGAACUAGUUAGAGUAAAGUGUAACAGUGUUUGUCAGUUGAAUCCUCUAAAAGGGGAUCAGAUCAUACUCACAUUUGUUUAGUUCAAGUGAGGUCGCUCCUCCUUGAACGAUGAGCUCCGGAGUAGUCAUCUUUACUGGACCAGGAGGUGCGUCUCCCCCAGUUGACGGUCCCAUCGGGUGCAGGUGCGUCUCCCCGAUAUUUGGGAUAGCGUCAGUGAGUAAUUGUUAACCAGAGGGUUAACCAAAAUGAAUUGGAUAAACUCAGUAAAAGCAUGCAUGCAUAUUUACAGUUUUUCUAUAUUGCUUUCUUUCAGCUUUGUACAGGUAUUGUAGUAGUUACAUAUUAUAGUUGGUUACUAUCUCAGUUUACUUUUCUUGCCUACAUAUGCCUGGAUAGACCUAGUGGGUGAGUCGGCGAGGUCGGCGGCCGAACCCACUGGGAACUUUUAGUAGUUCUCACACUACUAACCAUACAGGUUCCAGCGCGACGUUGUGGCUGAGGAUCGCGACAAGAGCCCAGCAGCCUAGCUAGUGGGCACCCGAGUUCUAGUGGUAUACCAUUUUGGUUUCAUAUUGUACAUAAUGAUGAACAAAGAGAUGUGUAAAUGAAAAUUUAAGUGAUGUAAAUAACUAAAUGUUCAGUUAUUUAGUUAUAUAUAGUUUAGUGUUAAAAGUUUUAAAUUACAGUGAAUUUUCAGUAUAGUUAGCCUACUAUCACUUGUGCUUGUUGCUUGCCCUCGUGCAAGCCAUGUAUAUUGAAAUGUUAUCCUGGGAAUUGUUUAUUUCUUUAUUCAUGUACUCGUUGUUGUUGAGCCUUGGGCGGAUAGAGGAGGUUCUGUCCGUUUGGCGUCUGUGUACGGGCUCGGAUCGACCAAAUUGGCGAUAGCGGGACGUGACAGGCAGGAAGGUCCGAGCUCGGACCGGCGGGAGGGCUUGGGCUGGCAGGAGGGCUCGGGCCGGCAGGAAGGUCCGAGUCCGAGCAAAGGGAGCACCAGGCAGAGAAAGCCGAGGCUGGGCUCUCCAAGGCUAGGCCCAAGUUGGGCCCACAGGUGGAGUCCAGCAAUUGGCUUCCCGGGCUCUCCAAGGCCAGGCCCAAGUUGGGCCCACCGGUGGAGUCCAGCAAUUGACUUCCCAAGGAGAAGAGGUGGGCCCGUCCGAUCGCUGGCUUUCCAAAAUCCGAGGUCCAAUUGAAUGACCCAGGGCCCAGUGCAGGGUAGACAAGUGGGCCAGAUAAAAGCGCAGCGAAGAGGAGGGUCCGCGUCAGUCCUGUCGGACAGAGGCCCAAAUAAAGUAGUUUGAAAUUUGAAACAGAGCAGCACAGUACUGGACCAAAGGGGGAGAGGCUCCAAGCAGAAUUAAUGCGCAGGGACUUUUCCCGAUAAACGAGGCUUCCACAAAAGCUGAUCCCGGCUUGACCAGAAGGGCUCGUCUUCCAACAACAGGCAAAAGGUGAGCGAGGCUGAGUAGGGUGAGACAAAAAGGAAGCAUGAUCAGCAGGCAGGCCAGUACUUUCUCUAACAGGCAGAUCAACUUGCACGAAGGAGGAAAGAUUUGGAGAAAGGCAAAUCUGGCCGUUGGGGUACGGGAUGCGGUCAGCCGAGGCGUCACCGAUCGGCGAUUCAGCCGAGGCAUCACUGACCGGAGAGUCCUCGGCCGCGGGCGCCUGCCCUGACCCCGUGGAGACUAGAGAGGCUUCGGCCACUGGCGCCGACCCCCACCCCAGGGAGACCGAAGAAGCCUCGGUCACCGGCACAAACCCUAGGGAGACCGAAGAAGCCUCAGUCACCGACACCGACCUCGAUCCCAGGGGGGCGAUGAGGCCCAGUGAAGGUGGUCGGCAGCGCCUCCUAUCUCGGAUUUCGGAGGAGUCAGAGGAGCCGUCCGAGUUAGGGUCGUCGUCGUCCAGGGGCCUCCGCGCUCGUACUUCACCAAAGUACCGACGCUCCACCUCUAAGGAUCUCACGUCAGGAUCGACAUGGUCCGUUCGCUCGUUGGGCGGGGGGGAGGAUCACCACGGCCAUUGUCGCUGUCUCGAGCCCAACGCUCAAGUUGGAUUAGGACCGACAUAGAGACGUCCCCGAAGGCGACCUCCAGAUUCUCGGGUAUGUCAUGGAGGUGGUUGACGGCUACGAGGCAGCGGUAGCCGGAGAGAUCUACCAUGCGAGUCGUGUGCUCGUCCGCCCUGAUGAAUCGGGCGAAGCCGCCGACAAGAGCCGCAACGGUACGGGAAGACCAACAUUUAUAGGGGAGAGAUACCAGUCUGAUCCAAGCUUUGUAAGGAGGAGAAAACGGCGGGCGCCACUAUAGGGAUUCCAGGCAUAGCAUCGUAAUCUAAUAUCCCCCAGGCUGAGGUUAAGCCUACGGACAAGGGAGUCGCUUGGAACCCAUUCUGGAAGAAACACCACGAACUCUCGUUCCCUGUAGCGAGCCACCAGAAAGUCCAUGGGGAAGCCUCCGAAACGGUUGGCUAGACCGUUGGCAAUAGUGUCUUGAGCAAAGUGGCCAAGAUUCGCAGGGAGGAUGACAUCCACAAGGAGUGCAUUGCGGCGCUUGUUCUGCCGAGCAAAGAAGUCUUCUGUCUCCGAAACAAAGACGUUCAGGUAAGCUGGGCGAGCGCGCAUGUAGCGGUAGACGUCCAUCGGGAGGCGAUCCAUGCAGCUCCGCGCCUUGUGACCCGUUUUGAGGCACAGGGCGCACCGCAAAGGCUCUCGGCAAGCGGCUGCUCUGUGGUUCCGUCCCACGCACCGGAAACACCGGUCCUUGAAAGAGUGAGAAUCAAACUUGGGGGGAGUGUUGCGAAAAGUGUUACGAAGAGGUGGUGGAGGGUGGCGCGAAGGGAGUGAAGCACGGGAGCGAUGCGCCGGAGCGAAGCGCAGAGGUGGCGGCGGAGGGUUGCGCGAGGGAGCGUUGCGCAGAGGUGAUGGAGAGUUGCGUGAAGAGGAGGGUGGGGCAGCGGAGAGGAGGGCCUCUUUGUAGGACGGGUUGCCAGGAGAAGUGAGGCGUCCGUUCCUUUUAUAAUGCACUUCGGUCCAAGGCUGAUCCGCAGGCACUCCUUUGCCGUCGGUGUCCUUUACAGCUGGAGCAGGAGCACUAGGGGCAGGAGCGCUAGGGGAGUCAUCCUUGCUGAAGAAGGUAACCUGAGCCAGGUCCAGUCCAGCUGAGUCCGCCCAGAUCACCUUCUUCGCUAAGGAACGAUCAUUAAUGCUGGAGCUUGAGGGGUGGGUGGUUGCCAUAACUCCAUUGCCCAGAUGAUGUUUAAGCUCCUGAAACCUCCGCUCCAAGUCAUUACUCAGUCCAGAUGAAAUGACAUUCACUGCUCCAGAUCGCUCGAUCGACCGAUGCCGAGGAUCCCCCAGCUGACUGGGACAGGGGGCCGCCGUCUUCCCGAUCACCGUCGUGCUUGUUGUCUUGGCCGUCGUGCCUGUUGUCUUGGCCGCCGUCUUCCCUGUCGCCGUGGUCGCCGUCUUCCUAGUCGUCUUGAUCGGCGUACAGGCGACCGCCUUCCCCUUCUCUCUCUCUCUCUCUCUCUCUGUAUUAGCUAAAAAAAUAUUAAACACAUGCAUGUAUUAUAAUGUAGUUAAAACUUAUAUGCAACAAGUCCAAAAUAGUAUAAUGAAAAGAUAAGUAUCAUUUUUUUUUUUUUUUUUGCUUUAACUUUUGAUGGUCAAGUAUUUUACUGGAUUCAAAUUCGGGUCAAGAUCUAGAUAUGAAAACUAGUCCGAACUUUACCCACCAAAAGAAUGGGUCCGGAUUGGAUCGAAAUUGGAUAGGGUAUAAGAUAUUCGGACCAAUAACCAAAACUUAAACGGAUACUUUUUUUACCCCACAUACUACCCACUUUUAACCAGUCCGAAUCGGAUCCGGAUAGGAUCUGGAUCGGCUCGAGAAUAUUGGAAAUUUUGGGCAUCUCUAAAGCUUAUAGACUAAAGUAAGCCAGUAAAAAUUUGCACCAAAAUGUCACCAUAAAAUACUCCCCCACUUCACUUUGUUGACUAGGGUGCUUAAUUAAUUUUCCAAGAUGACUUGACUCCAUCAGUGUGGAAAAGCUCGGAGCAAAUUUAAUAAAGAGACAAUUAUCUGUAUAUCCCUGCAAAAUUCUCACCAUGCAGUCCUUAAAAACAUCUGUUUCUUAAUUACAUCUUUUUAAAAUCUCUUUUUUUUUUUUAUAAAAUAAUUCAAAUUUGUGGAUCGGAUUGGGUCUGGUUAAUUAAUAUACUAAACCCGUACCCGAAAAAAAAAAUAUAAAAAAAAUAUACCCAUUCUUUUCAACUUUAGAGCGGGUCCGAAUCUAAAUACUUAAGUUCCUACUGCACUCAUUAAAUUUAUUUGACUGGAUUUAGAUAGUUACUAUCCUGUAUACAAUCCACUUCAAGAUCCGAUAAGGGCUGGAGCUAGAUCAAAUACAGAUAUCUGUAUGUGUGUCUAUGUCAUCAAGAACAACUAUACGUUACAUGAUAAGUGCAAAACAAAAAUUAAAAAUUAAAAAUAGUUACACAUAUAUUAAUUACCCUAAAACACAUACAAUUAACCACCACCUCAAAUUGAUACAACAACAUAAUAAUUAAAAAUGUAAUGAUAAACCCAAAGACAUAUAACAUAAUUAUGUAAAACACAUACAGCUUGUCAUAUAGCACACACUGUAAGUCCAAAGCACAUGCACUUUUUGUAAUGUAAUUAAAACUCAUAUGUAGUAAGUCUGAAACUGUCUAAUGAAAAGAUAAGUAUCAAUUUUUAAAAUUUUCAUAAGUUUUUCAAUUUCUUUUCCUUGCUUUAACUUUUGAUGUUUGGGUAUUUUAUAGGAGGCCCAGGUCUAGAUCAGGAUAAUGAUACGAAAACUAUAUUGGACCCCACCCACCAAAGGAAUGGAUCCGGAUUGGAUUCAAGUCGAGUAGAGUAUGAUAUAUUCAGACCAAUAACCAAAACUUAAAAGAGUAAUUUUUUAUCUUUAUAUUAUCUAUUUUUAAUCAGGUUCAAAUCAGACCUGAAAAAAAGUCAGGAUCGGAUUUAAAAUAUUGGGUAUUUUGGACACCUCUCCGUAACAUAUAUAAUUACUAAAUACUUAUAGGUCAAUACAAAGCUGUACCAAAAUGUCACCAUAAAAUACUCCCCACUUUGUUGACGUGGGUGUUUAAUUUCCAAGAUGACUUGUGAGUUCAAUAUGGAAAAAAGUGGAGAACUAAUUUAAUAAGGAGGCAAUUAUCUAUGUAUCCCUAUAAAAUUCUCGUCUUUUAUAUGUAGCCUCGACAAACAUCUGUUCUUAAAUUUAUCUUUCCAAAGUCUCAUAUUUGUUUGAAAAACUCAAAUUCGUGGAUUGGGUCGGAUCUCGAUAGUUAAUAUAUUGUAUUCAUGUCACGCCCCGAAUUACUCGUUUCUCCGGACUCGCUAACAGACCCGCCGUAUAUAUAGAUAUUUUUCUUGUAUACGAAGCGAAAAAGUAGAAGUACCUGUAAUCAUUCAAUACCACAAACAGUAAUAUAGAGCAGCUAGGAAAAUAAACCAAAUAUAUAAACUAUGGUUCAAUACAUACAUGUCAUCCAGGUAUAGAAACACUCGCUCUGGCGAGAUACAACAACUGUAUGUAAAGACCCAAAAACUACAACUACCUGUAGCUGGUACUCCUCUAGCUCUGCGACUCGUCUGGAAGGGCUCUAACUCGCAACGCCCUUGCCACGAUCAGUUUCGAUAGAAGCAGCAGCCGGGACAGAAGGCUCUGCAAAAAUAGGGUAACAAUUGGGCGUGAGAACUACUACAAACAGAAGUAGUUCUCAGUGGGUACCGCCCUCGAACUCAUCGCUCCACCCACUAAGUCUACAGGAGUAAGCAGGAAUAGUAAAGAAAGCUGGAAUAAAUUUACAGCUAAAUGGCACUACACUAUCAUGCUCCAACUCUACCCUCUGUAGAACAAUGUCAUCUCAGACCCAAUCUCAAUAAGGACUGUAAUCAUAUCUGUCCUUCGGACUGUGAACACAUCUAUCCCGCCCGGUUGCGACUAUCCAGCUACCUCCACACUAAUCAGUCCGUGGAGAGCAAGUCCAACCUGCACGAACGACACCAACGCAAAAGCACAAAGCCUGACUCCGGAGUGGCACUCAUGGGCGCUACCCAAUCGAGUAUGCAAGCAUAUCUCUGUCGAGCUCAAUCAGGCUCUCACAAGCUAACGUCAAGUAGACAGGGUCAAACAGGUCUAGAAACCAAACCCACGUGCCCUCGGAACAAUCUGAGACCAAAAACAGGAAUUUGGGUCCACCGUCCACCCCGACGGCACCCGACAACCCGAAACAGCCUAGAUUCUACUGUAAAAAUAAGCUCGGCAUCCCAGCACGAGCGUAAAUGUAUUCUAAACUACCCCGGGUAUCCACCGCGCUGAAACAGCAGUGAUACAAUCAAACCACGGCUCCUAGAGCUAAAUCAGGUAGUAGAAUCAUAUGACAAGUCGAAUCGCUGGUUUUCUCCUAAGUCAAGUUCCAAGUCCAACAUGUAUAUUCAACUAAUUACUAUUCAUGCUCCAAAUUCAGAUUUCAUACAUUAUACCAAUCGAUGAAUUUGAGCUACAACAUGAUAUUCCGAAUUCGAAACUAUACAUGUUUACUAUACAUAUACUUAGGAGCAAAAUCGAUGAUAAACCCACCUCUAGUGCAAUUUUCUGGCAGCAAAGAAGGGUUCCGAACCAAAGCUAAUCCCUGUUGGAUCAACCGAAAUCCUCUAAGACCAGAAAUCAAGUUAUCUCUAAACUCUACACACUGAAUUCCAUUAAUUAUCACUAUUUCAGCACUAAAGCUUAAUUUAAUCUCAAUUGUAAUGUCAAAACUCACCUAAUUACCUUCAAAUCAGGUGAGGAAGGUCUCAAAUCUAGUGAAUAAUAAUGGAGAAUGUGUCUCAGGUCCAAAAUCCCACUGCCUACAAAAAUAGUAUCAAGAAAAGCUCAAAAAUCUCAUUUUCAGUUCAAUGUUGCAAGCAGUCCAGAAAUACAUGUAAACGACUAAGCUAACCUCAACCAAAACCCACAAUUUAGGAUUUCGUGGAUUUCUCUAGAAGUCUAGAAUCCAGCAAACCAAGUUUCACCGCAAUCCGACCUUCCUACGUCGCACACGAGCCAAAACACCGAAGGUCGUUGCUGGAAAACUGCAGAAUCAGCACUCCACCACCUUCCAAUUGAAAGAUUGGAGCAAAUUGAGGAAAUCAGAGGGUUAGAAAUGCAAUUUGAGACUUCUCUGUGAAGAACAGGUGAAAAGAACUCACUGGAGUCAAACACCACCUAUUUAUAGGGUGUUAGAAUGGUCCCAUAAGCCUCAGGAACAACAGUUGCAAACCUGCAACUCAGCAGAAACGGGCACUUCCGGGCGCCCGGACCCACAUUAUGGGCGCCCGAAUCCUCCAGGCUACACAAGGCUUCCUCCUCGGAGUCUCCGCCCGCGGUGUGCUACGCCUAUAUCCGGCUCCGGCGGACCUCGCCUACUACCAGUCACGUGUCAGCGCAAACGAUACUCACGAUGUGAACUUUCGGACCCACAUCCGGGCGCCCAAAACAUGGACCCGAAUUGGCUUCCAGUUCUGCUCAGUUCUGCACUCAAUUUCUGAGCGACCCAAAGCCAGUUCUGAGCGCCCGAAUCCGGCAAAACUCCAGUUUUGCUUAUUUGAAUGCGCCGAAUCCAUUUUUGCAUCCAUUUCGCAUAGAAAUAACUCCGACUCAGUCCGACACUCUUCAGAUGUGUCGACCAGUCACUAACACUGAAGCCAAUCCUAUCCAAAUCUCAGAAAUACUACAAUUUGUAUCCUAAAAAAAUAUAUAUAAUAUAUAUAUCUAUACUAUAUACAAAAUCAUAUAUUUUGAAUUUUAGUAUGAGGCUCAUUUUUUAGUAAGAAAAGGAUUUUGGUUCACUUUUCUUUUCUUAUGCAAAUAAAUAACAUAAUCAAACAAAAUUUUUUAUUUCUUCUUUUUUCCUCUAUCGGAUAUUUUUUUCCUAUUUUUAUUUAAAUAUGCCGGUCUCAUUUCAUUCCUUUUCUUCUUAAGUGAAUAUUUUCAGAUUAUUUUAAUAUUAUCUAGAAAUAUUUAGUUGUUAUGUUAACUUUUUAUUGAUUCCAACUAACAAUCAAAUUUGAAAUUAAUUUUAAAUAUAUAUUUAAAUUUUAAUCAUAUAUAAUUUAAAUUUAAAUUUAUAAAAUUUUAAAAAUAAAAUUAAAAUUUAAGUUUAAAUUGUGAAUUAGAUUUUAUUUUGAAAAUCAAAUUUGAAUUAACAAUUAAAAAUUUUAAUUAAAUUGGAUCAAAAUUUAAAUUUAAAUUUUGAGUAAAAUGUGAGUUAAAAAUUUGAUAUUUUUAGUUUAAAACACAUCUUAAAGUUUGGGUUAGUUAGAAUUUGAAAAAUAUAAAAAAUAUUCAACGUAUAUAUAUACAAAAAUUAAAUUAUAUAGUUAUUACUGCAAGCAACUAUGUAAAUUUGAGUUAGGAUAAAAAUAUAGUGGUUAAAAGAAUUAAAUUAUUAUUAUAAUUUUUGGAUAAAUAUGAUGUAUUUGCACGUACACUCAACUAGCGUAUGCGUAUACAUUUGGGCGUAUGCUCAACUAGAAUGAUAUUAGUAACAAAUGAGCUUUAUUGUCACCCAUUUGUUUUCGAUGAUAGAGCAUCCAAAUCGACGAUUGGCACCGUUGAACAUGAUCUAUGUCACUUGAACAUCUAAAAACUAAAUUUUAUAUUUUUUCGAUAUUAUUCUCGUCUAUCAAGUAGACACAAAAAUAAACGACUGAAAAUGAAUAUGCUUUAAAAAGUGAUGAUAGGAGCAUUGUAAUUAAGAUCAAGAGUAUAGAUCUUAUUCUAAAUAAUUUUAAUUUCUUUCUGACCAAAAUUCAAUUGAUUUGAAUAUCUUUGCGCCAUUAAACGAGAAAAUAUUUGAUAUCAAAUAUUAAAAUUAUAAAUUUUGAAACUCUUUGAUCAUUAGGUCAAUGAUGUUGAAAAUAUUUGAAAUAUGAUUUUUAAAUCUUCAAAUGGUAUAAAUCAUGUUCAACGAUACCGAUCGUCAAUUUGGAGGUUCUAUCAUUGAAAAUAAAUUGAUGGCAAUGGAGCUCGAUUGCUACUUAGCAUUCCGGCUCAACUCUCUCUCUCUCUCUAUAUAUACGCCUAUCGACUCUAGAGUAGAGUCCAAAUCUAAGUACUUAAGUUACGAAUGCACCUAUUGAUUGAGCAAAUCUUGAUAGUGAUUAAAUGUAUACUACCCACUCAAAGAUAGGAUAUGAAUCAGAUACGGUCGGGUCUAGAUCGAGCGCGGAUAUCCGUAUAUGUAUUUAUGACAUAAAGCACAAAUAUUUAUUACAUGAUAACUACAAAACAAAAAUAUAUAAUUUACAAUAGUUACACAUAUUAGUUAUUGUAAAACACAUACAACCACCACCUUAAAAAACUAUGACAACAUAACAGUUAAAAUUAUAUUUGAUAAAUCCAAAAACAAAUAACAAAAUUAUGUAAAAUACAUACAACUAGUCAUACAACAUACAUCAUUAGUCCAAAAUACAUGCACUUAUUGCAAUGUAGUUGAAACUCGUACACAAUAAGCCCGAAAUAAUACAGUGAAAAAAUAAGUAUCAAGUUUUUUAAUUUUACGAACUUUUUAAUUUUUUUUUCUCUUUCUUUUAACUUUUGAUGAUUGGAUAUUUUAUCGAACAGGGUCCAAGCCAAGAUCCAGAUAUGAAAACCAUUACGGACCAUACCCACCAAAAGAACGGGCCCUAAUGGGGUCCAAGUUAGGUAAUCUAUACAUAUAAUAAAAGUCGAACCCUAAACCCGCCACGCGUCGCCUCCCCAGCGACCCCCCCGCCUCCUCAGCUCUGCCCGCUUCCUUCGCUGGCGACGAGCGGCGUCACGUGCCUCCCGUCCCGUGUCUCUCCGAGUCGUUCUCUCUCCGAGCCGGGCCCCAUCCCCUCUCCCUGUCGGAUGCUUGUCGGGCCCUAUGCUGACCUUCUCCUGCGGCCGACGUACGCCCGUUACAUCUCUGCGUCAGGUUUGGCCGGUGUGCGGCUGUGGUUGCGGUAUCUCUUCUCUUUGCUCCCCAUGUGCAUCCUAAUUCUCCUGUCUCUGCAACUCUUUCUUCUCUUUGCUCCCCAUGUGCAUCCUAAUUCUCCUGUCUCUGCAACUCUUUCCUCUAAUCCCUUCUUCCGUCUCCGGCGCCGCCGGAAGUGGGUGGGGUUCCUCUCUCAACCCGGGCCUCUGCCAGGAUUUGUAUAUAAGAUGUCCGAACCAACAACUGAAAUUUAAAUGGGUAAUUUUUUUCACCCAUCUACUAUCUACUUUUAAUCUAUUACGGAUAGCGUCCGAAUUAGGGAUGCAAACGGGGCGGAUCUGGGGGCGGGAGACUAGCAAAAAUCCGCCCCGCCUCCCGCCCCGAAUCCGUGACGGGUUAAAAAAUACAUCCCAUAAUCCGGCCCGCCUCGUAACCUGCCUCCCCCCGGCGCCCAGAAUCCGCCCCGCCAACUAAUAUUUUUUAUAAAAUUAUAAUAUUAUUAAUAUUUUGUAAAAUAUAAAUUAAUAAUUUUUAAUAAUAUUAUAUAUAUAAUUUAACAAUAUUAAUGGUAAAAAUUAAAAAUAUCAAUCACAAUUCAAAACAAAAUUCAAAUAUUUCAAAUACAUUAGAAAUGAGAGUAAUAACUUAUUUGUAUUUUAAACUUUUUUUAUAAAUAUAUUAUUUUUUGNGUGUUUGAAUCAUGUCCAAAAUAUCGAAUAUUUUAGACAUCUCUAGUUUAUAUAGUUACUAAAAGCUUAUAGACUAAGGUCAAUGUGGGUAUUUGGACCAACUUUUGAAAAGUAAUUUUGGACCUAAAAAUAAUUUUCGGCUUAAUAGAAUAUUUGUUUGUCUCGUUUUUUCAAAAUCGGAUUUUGAAUUUUUAAAAUCAAUUUUUUGAUUUUCGAGAUCCAAAAUAGAGCAGCUAAACUUAUUUCUUCAAAUCUGAUUCUGAUUUUGAAUUCAAAAUUCAAAAUUUUAUUUUAAUUUUAAAUACAAAUUUUAUAUUUAAAAUUUGAAAUUUUAGAAUUUAUAAUUAAAAUUUAAAAUUAUAAAUUUUAAUUUUCAAAUUACAAAUUUCAAAAUUUUAAAAUUCGUAAUUUAAAUUUUUAAAUAUUAAUUUUGCAUUUAAAUUUUAAAUAUUUAAUUUUAAAAUUUCUAAUUUAGAUUUUAAAUUGAAACUGAAAACUAAAACUUAGAUUUAAAAAUUCUAAUUUUAAAUUUUAAAUUUUCAAAUUUUAAAUUUAUAUUUUAAAUUAAAAUAUCAAAUUUUUAAAUUUUUGUGCACUUUUUAAAUUUAAAUUUUAAAUUUAAAUUAAUUUUAAAAUAAAAUUAGGUCUAAAAAAAUUUAUGGGCAACAUCAAAUUUUUUUUUAUCAAAUAGUUUACAAAAUCACUUCAGAAAAAUUAUUUUCAAUCUAAAUUCAGCAAUAACUCUUAUAAAUUGUUUUAAACCAAAUCAAUUCUCCAAAUUAAAUUAACUUCAUACAAUAUAAUUUUUUUUUAGAUCUGGGCCAAAUAGGCCUAAAUCAAGCAUUUAAUAACUAAGCAAAUUUGGCAACCCUCCCGGUUCUUCCACAAAAGCUCGAACAGCACCUCUCGACGAUACAAUGGAAAAUCCAUCCCCAAACCAACCCCAAAAAGUUACAAAUUACAACAACUCUCCCACCACAAAUCCCAAAAUCUUUGUUUUUAACUACUUUUUCUUUCUUUUUUUUUUUUUGUUUUCCGUUGUUUUAAUGCCGUUUAUUUCGGUGUAUUGUACAGGGUUGCUCUGGUGACGGGGCACACAAGGGGAUCGGCUUAGAGAUUUGUCGCGCGUUAUUAUCGUCCCCCGCGGGGUGACGGUCGUUCUAACGGCCAGAGACGAGGGGAAGGGCGUGGCGGCGUUCAGAAGCUUCGAGUUUCGGGAGCGACGACGGCGUGUUCUUCCACAACUGGAUGUCGCCGACUCUUCCAGCGUUGCAUGUUUGGCCGAUUUCGUGCACGCCAAUUCGGAAAAACUCGUAUUUUGGUGAGAACUUUUGUUUAUAUAUAUAAUAUUAUAAAUAUAUAUUAAUAUAUUGUAGCGAAUAAUUUUAUUUUAUUUUAUUUUAUUUUAUUUUAUUUUUUAGCUCAAGGCAAAUUUUCUUACUUUUCUGUUUCUUCACCUCGGUGUAAUUGAUAUUACUAUAUUAGUAUAUAAUUCUUUGUAUGACAUACUGACCUCAAUUUAUAUCUAGUUAGUGCUUUACUGCUACAAUGAAGUUUUACAACUGUGUGAUGUUUAAACAUGAUUAUUCUUAAAGCCUUUGGUUCUAUAUUGGCUCUUGCUUCUACAUAUGAUGUUAUUACAUUUGGUCCCUUCAAAAAAAAAAAAAAAAAACACAAGAAGAAAGGUUGUUACAUUUGGUAUACUUUUAGUGUGUUAUAUGAUUUUGACUUGAUCCCUCUGUUUGCAGGUAAACAAUGCCGGAGUUCUCGGAAGGGCAUCGGAGACUCAAGGAGUAAGUUCAUCAAUUCGUGUUGUAUAAAUACUCCAAAACAACGUUAAACAUUGCCGAUGACUUAAUCAGCUACGUUAGUGGUACAAUUAUUUGUAACAUGUGAUUUCUUGUUCUCUGCUACUAAUUUUAGUUUCUCUCAUGAGCCAGUUGGCUGGAGAGUCGACCAAUUCCUUACCAGCUGGAGAGACUUAUGAAAAGGCAGAAGAAUGUUUGGAAACAAACUACUACGGAACUAAGAGGGUAACAGAAGCACUAAUCCCUCUUCUUUUGAAAUCCCAGUCACCACGGAUCGUGAAUAUUUCCUCUUAUUAUGGCAAACUACAGGUGUGAGUUGACAUAAAAGUGUUUUCCUACUUGUACUUAUCCUUAAUCUCGCUCUACUAUUCUGACAUAUAGAUAUCUUUCAAAAUCCAUUUCAGCGAAUCCCCAAUGAGGGCAUUCGGAAAGAAAUUGGCGACAUCGAUAGCUUGACCGAAGAGAAAAUCGAUGAGAUGGUGCGAUCCUUUCUGAAUGAUUUCAAGGAAGGGAAAUUGAGAACAAAUAACUGGCCGGCUAGGUUGUCGGCUUACACUGUGUCUAAAGUGGCGAUGAGUGCAUAUACAAGAAUUAUUGCGAAGAAGUAUCCCACCAUUUGUAUAAACUGCGUUCAGCCAGGCUACGUGAAGACGGACUUGAAUGCGAAUUCGGGUAUAUUGUCGGUUGAAGAAGGCGCGGAGGGACCUGUAAUGUUGGCUUUGCUUCCUGACGGUAGCCCUUCAGGGCUAUUUUAUGAUCAGACCAAAGAAUCAUCCUUUGUAGCGUAAUGCCGUAAUCAUUUCCAAUCAAACAUGAGAUUAUGAGGUUCCGUUCUCUAAACUUCUUUGGGUCUUUGUUGAUCUUUGUAUCUUAUUUAUACUUUAUAAAUAAAUUUACACCUGUUUAAUGCAAUUGAUAUGAUCAAAAGUUGAUAUUGCAUAUCUCAUCUCAGUACAAUAUGUUAUUUCAUAUGGUUUCUCUCGACUUUUUCUACUGUAAGAUGAAUUAAUUUUCCUUGUCAUUAAGGUAUGGAAAAGUAUGUACAGAGAACCCUAAACUUAAGCUCUUUUGCAAACCAGCGCCUGAACUUCUAAUUUUGGCCAUUAAUGUCCUUAACUUUUAUCAAAUAAUUCAACGGGUCUCUUUUCUCGAUCUUAUACUUUCAUUUCAAGCUGAGUAAUAUCACAUAUGUCACAUUUCCGCAACUUCUAGUUAUUGCAAAAGCUCAAACACUGAAUAUUUUUGUUCCAUAUAUCCACUUAGCUAUAUGGAUGAUGACUUGGUUUUGAAUAAAUUUUCUUUCAAUGCUUUAUUAUACCCUACCCAUCUCUCUCAGAAAAAAAAAAAAUGAAGAAAUUUUAGAAGGUAGCUGGAGACCAAAAAAACUAUAUGAAGAGUAGCUUUAGGUUCGAGUUUUGACAGAAGUCACUUUCUUCGCUCUUGCUGUGGUUCAAGUUUUGACAGAAGUCACUUUACUCCUGCUGUCGGUGCCUCGGGUGGUAUUAUCACAUGUUGGAACUCCAAAAUUUUCGUCUGUAUGGAGGUGUUGGUGCGCGAUCACUCGCUAACCAUCAACUUGAAACAUGUCACAAGCGGAACGAGCUUCUACCUGUCAAACGUAUAUGGACCGCCAACAUGGGAUGGGAAAGAAGAGUUUUGUUCUGAACUCCUAGCUCUUCGUGGGGUUUGUUCCAACAGUAAAUGGGUGAUUUGCGGGGAUUUUAACUUUACUAGAAACCAGACAGAACGCACGGGAAAACGGUGGAGCACAAAAGCGAUGUUCAUGUUCUCUGAUCUUAUUUCUAAUCUCGAAGUCAUUGACAUCCCUAUUUCCAACCAAAAUUUUACUUGGUCUAAUAUGCAAAGCUCGCCAACCCUGGCCAAGCUGGACAGAUUUCUCGUCUCGACGGAGUGGGAUCAAGCGUUCCCGCACUGUAGGGUUUCUGCGUUAUCAAGAAUCACGUCCGAUCACACCCCGCUAAUCCUUGCUACUGGGAGUAAUCCCACUCCGCGGCGAUUUCGGUUUGAGAGAGUAUGGCUUACCAGGGAGGACUUCUUACAUAAUGUACCCAUUUGGUGGAAUGAAAUAUCUAGCGAGAGGUCUGCAAUACUCACUUUAACAGCAAAAGUAAGGCACUGCAGGAAUAGAAUAAAAGAAUGGUGUAAGACGAAAUUUCACAGUAUUACCAACGCAAUUAGGUGUUUAAAGGAGGAUAUUAGAAGCAUCGACCUUUUAGAGGAACGAAAUACGUUGACACAAGAUGCGCGGGAUAAACGGGUAGAUCUUAAAGCACAACUCCAACUUAUCUUGCAGGAGGAAGAAAUCCUCUGGAAAACGAGAGCAAAACAGCAUUGGCUUAAGGAAGGGAAUAGUAACACAAAGUUCUUUCAUGCUGUUGCCAACGGUCGGAAGCGCACCAAUGAGAUAUUGUAUAUUGAAGGUGAGUCAGGAAGUUAAAUUAGAAAUGAAGCUCAAAAGAAAUCCGUUUUCUUUCACUCCUUCAAACGUCGGUUUGGGAACGUAGAAGAGGAGCCGUCUUCUUUUGGCGAUUGGGCCGACUUGUACCGAGCGAACGCCUUACCGGACUCGGACUUGCUCUCGGCACCAUUUAAUUUGGAUGAAGUCAAAAAAGCGACCUUCCAACUGGGUAGUGAUAAGGCACCUGGUCCCGACGGAUUUCCGCUUAUCUUUUUCCAACAGUUCUGGGAGACAGUUAAGGAAAACAUAUUUGAUAUUUUCAAAGAUCUUCAGGAGUCCGACCUCUGCACAGCGCCAGUGGAUUACUCUUACGUAUGUUUAAUUCCCAAAAAGGAAGGAGCUUGCCGGGUCGACGAUUUUCGACCGAUUUCCCUUUUAAACGGUAUUCAAAAGAUUAUUUCGAAGGUGCUCGCAAACAGACUAGCGGAAGUGUUACCAUCUAUUAUCUCUACAUCUCAAUCGGCCUUUCUGAAAGAUCGACUACUAGCUGACUCUUUUGUCACUGCAACUGAACUAAUCAACUGGUGCGCAAGAACUAAUAAGGAGUGCGUUAGUAUAAAGGUGGAUUUUGAGAAAGCCUACGAUAAAGUUAGUUGGAGGUUCUUGCUAAGUAUACUACGGUGGCUUGGGUUCAGCGACAAAUGGAGGUACUGGAUUGAACAAUGUAUCUGCAAUGCCAAAAUUGCCAUUUUAGUGAACGGUUCGCCGACAAAGUGGAUGAAAACAAGAAGGGGGUUGAGACAGGGGGACCCGCUGUCCCUCUAUCUAUUCCUACUUGUGGCCGACUGUUUGGCGAGGAUCACGGCAGUAGCAAGGGCUAAUAACUUGCUUCAAGGAAUUGGACCAACUGCCGAGUGUCAAACAGUGAUUCUGCAAUAUGUGGAUGACACUCUAUUCUUCUCGGAGCCCAAGAAGUCCGCCAUGCGUAACUUACGGUUCAUUUGGAAGUUGUUUGAAUGGGCCUCUGGGCUCAAGAUCAAUAUGAACAAGACUGAACUUUUUCACGUGGGAACCACAGCAAACAAAGCUAAAAGACUCGCAGAUAUUUUGGGGUGUAGAGUAGGCAAACUACCUUUUCGCUACUUGGGGUUGCCACUUAAUACAAAAUCCCUUCGAAAGGAUGAUUGGACUCCGAUCCUUAACCGCAUCGAGACGCACAUUGAUGGAUGGAAGGCAAAACUCCUCUCUCACGGGAGGAGACUCAUCCUGGUCAAUUCGGUACUUUCAAAUCUUCCGUUAUUCUACUUUGCAAUAUUCAAGGUGCCGCAGUGGGUACUGAAUCGCAUUGAAGCUCUCAGAAGAGCCUUCUUUUGGAAAGGGUGCUCGAAAAUUUCAGGGGGGGCUUGCCUCGUCGGAUGGAAAACGAUAUGUAAAAGCAGAAAAGAAGGAGGUCUGGGGAUUAAGGAUAUGCAAGCUAUGAAUAAAGCUCUUUUAGCCAAAUGGUGGUGGCGUUUCUUCAAUGAGAGGCAUCUGUUAUGGGGGAGGUUAAUCACCGCUUUAUAUUAUACUAGAAGGAGGCCGUUACAUGAGGGAAAAUCCUUCAGACCUUACUCCCAGUGGUGGAGAAAUGUGAUGAGCUGUCAAGGAAUGUUCAAAUGUGGUCUUACUUACGCACUUGGUGACGGAAAAAUCAUUAGGUGGUGGUCGGACAUUUGGAUCGAUGAAAUCCCUCUUAGUAUCAGAUUUCCUGGAAUUUCUGCAGAGCUGCAAAUCAGGAAGCCACGGUCUCACAAUGCUGGAAUGAAAGAGGAUGGAGAUGGCGUUUCAUAACUAGAGGUUUGGCGGCAAGUUCCACUUCCCUUAUCCGUCAUCAGACUACGCUGCUCAAAACCCUACUAGCUCAGUAUAGCCCUUCGAACAUACACGACAAACCAAAGUGGAGAUGGACCAAGAACCAAAUUUUUACAGUUAAGUCCCUUUACGAUUUUAUCACCGACGGAGGACAGAUUAAUCCUUUGUACGAUAAUCUUUGGGGGCUUAGAAUCCCGCUCAAGCACAAAGUUUUCGUUUGGAUCCUCCUUCGAAAAAGAUUACCCACAGCGGACAGAUUGAUACGCCGAGGAUGCCCUGUAGACCAGCUUUGCAAGUUCUGUGCGUUCUUUUCCAAAACCUGCGAUCACCUUUUCCAGGAUUGUAUCUUUGUCAGAUAUCUUCUAAUUACAGUAGGUGCUGUUAUGCCAGCUGAUUCGGACGCGGGGAAUGUUCGGGGGCUUUGGACACAGAUCUCCGAGAAUCCAGAUGCCGAAGUUAGAUCGAAAUGUUUAACCCAUUUGGCGGCAAUCUGGUGGGUCGUCUGGACGGAGAGAAAUGGUAUUUGUUUCCGCGAUGUGACUCAUAACGCUUUCUGGGCUUCCGAACGCGUCGCUUCGUUGAUCAGAGCUUGGAACGAAGCACUCUGAACCAUCCCGGGUUUUUUCAUCCGCUGCUCUAAGCACAUUUGUUGUCCCGUUUUGUUGGUUUUUCUAUGUUUUAUUUGUGUUCCUUUUUUGUUUUCUUUCAGUUUUUCCUCUGUCGCCGAUUCGAUCUGGAGGCCCUAGCUGCUUCCAUCAUGUAUGCUAAAUUCAUUUUGCUUAAUGAAUGAAGCAGGUAGCUUGCUAUCUAUUUCUCAAAAAAAAAAAAGAAAAAAAAAAGAGUAGCUUUACAAAUGACAAAUUUUUGGCAGCAUAUAGAAAAGAGAAUUCUGCUUUUUUAUUUUUAUCGAAGUUGAUUAACUUACAGAUCAGUGCAUUUUAGCCAUCAAUUGUGUUUAUUUUUGACAUCGUUUUCUUAAGCCUUGCGAAGUAUACUCUAAAGGUUACAUAGAGACUAUCAUACAAGCUAUCUACAUAUUGGAACCACCAAAUCCUAAAUCCUUUAUUUACCAAUAGAACUCCAGUAAUAGUCCAAAACCCAACGGCAAAUCCUGCUAUUGUAAUAAGGCAAAGGAGUAAGAUCUCUUUUCGAUUUUUGUCUUCAUUUUCUGAAACAUUAGUUGGAGUUUGACUUGACUGGCCAAUUGUCGGGCCUUCAGCUUCGCCUUCAUUGCCUGUGCAACUCACAUUUAUUUGGAAUCCGCAAAGAUAUUGGUUUCCGACGUAUAUUUUAGGGUCCACGAAUGUGUCCAUUUGCUUCCCGGUCGGAAUUAUUCCUGAGAAGUUGUUGUAAGAUAAGUCCAAGAAGUCCAAGAAGCUUAAGUUGGACAAGCUAGAAGGAAUUGCUCCUGAUAACUUGUUUCUCGACAAGUUAAGAUAUUCUAGCUGCAUCAUAUCACCGAUCUUGGAUGGUACUUGUCCCGUUAGAUCAUUACUCGACAAGUCGAAUAUCAACAAUCCGAGAAGAUUUGUUAGUUCAUCGGGUAUGCGUCCUGACAAGCUAUUCCUAGAGAGAUCCAAGAUCGUCAUCUGCGAAAGAAGAUUGCUACCAUAUUGAUCUUCUCUUCCUUUGAUGUCCAAUAUCAUAUUCUCCUCAUAGUUACCUAAUGAGAUGUUUAGCAUGUUGAAUUCAAGACGGGUCCUCAUGGAAAUGAAAUUGCCGAAGCUCAUUGGUAUUGACCCUGAAAGAUUGUUAUCUGAGAGGUCUAAGAUUUGGAGACCAGUAAGAUUAGAGAGUUCUGUUGGAAUUUCGCCGACAAACUUGUUUGAUUUCAAGCUAAGAAUCUUGAGAGAUGAGAGCUCUCCAAGCCAGGUCGGUAUCCUUCCUGUAAACAUGUUACCACCAAGAUCAAGAAUAUCUAGACUCUUACAGGUCUUUAAGGAUGAGGGAAGAUCUCCAGAUAACCUAUUAUUCCUUAGCUGCAAGUAUUGAAGCUGAGGCAAAUCGCAAAGCCAUUUAGGUAUUCCUCCGGAAAAAUAGUUGUUCGAAAGCUCCAAAACUAGUAAGGGAGUGGUGUAAUUCUCGCAGUUUGGGAGCUCUCCUGAUAAACGAUUGUUUGAAACUAAUACAGUGAUAAAUUGUGUAUUACAAAUGGACAAGGGGAUACUGCCACUUAUUUUGUUCAUAGACAAAGAAAGUUUGCCAAACAUAGGCAUUAGCUGGAAAAUAUCGUAAGGAAUAGGACCUGAGAAUGAAUUGUUUGACAAAUCCAGUAGUCCCGUGUUAGAUGGAAAAUUUGGCACUGGUCCCUCAAAGUGGUUGGAACUUAAAUCAAUUGUCAAAUCUGAAAUAUCACCGAAUUUUAUUAAGUUGGGUAUCACACCACGCAAGUCAUUGUUAGAGAGUGAAAGAGUGGAAAGUUGUAUCAUUGUGUUCCAAAACCAAUCUGGCACCAAAUCUGAAAUCCCUGUAGAAGAUAGAUUUAGCAAGUUCAGAUAUUUCUGCGUCUGGAGCCAUGAGGGGAAUUUGGGGCCUAAUUUACAGCCAGUCAUCCGUAAAUUAGUGAGUUGGAAAGGAGGAACCCAGUUGUAGCUCACAUUCACAUCCAAAGAGUUAAAACUCAAGUCCAUGUUAUCUAACCUUGUAAGAUUAUAAAAAUGAUGUUCUGAAAGAACUCCAACAAGAGAGUUGGAGCUAAGAUCCAAAGAUGUGAGCUCAUUAAGGUUGCCGAGACUUUCGGAAACAGUGCCAUUUAACUUAUUGUGAUUAAAAGAUAACUCCCGUAUUUUGGGUAGUUUACCAAGAGAGGCAGGGAUCGAACCAGAAAGCGAGUUUUCUGAAAGAUCAAGAAUACUUAGAUUGUUUAGGUUACCUAUCCAAUCCGGUAUGUUGCCGCUUAGAGAAGUGAAACUUAAAUCCAACUCUUGCAAACUAUUUUGGAGACACCCGGAAAACGACUCAACGAAUGUGUCUAAUUGAGAGUUAAUUGCGGAAUUUGUUAAAUCUAGCAUAUGAAGCUCACAGAGAUUGCUCAAACUAGAUGGUAUCCCGGCAUCAAGGUCGACAGACUCUAGUUCGAGAACCUUCAGCGAAGUCAAGUUUCCAAUUCCAGAUGGAAUGAGCUCAGUAAAUUUACUGAAACUGAGAUAAAGAUAUUGAAGGGAAGUAAUUCUAAACAACCAGUCGGGUAAGCUAGAAGUUACUUCGCUGUUAUUAGCAUGAUCAGAAAAUGAUGUGAAAGUAAGAUCCAAAAGGGAAAGAGAGGUAAAAUUGACAUGCGGGAGGGAUUGUGGAAAGUUAUCGAAUUUGCAGUACUGCAAACGAAUAUCUUGUACUAAGGGAAGCAUGUUCAACGCUUGUAGCCAAUUGGAUGCAUUCUCAAUAAAGAGAGUGCCCAUGUCAAUAUGAAGUAGAAAGGUGAGUUGCGAAAGCCAAUUAGCAUUACUCAAUGUAAGAUUAUUACCGGAAAGAUCGAGGGUUUGAAGUCUUGAUAGAUUUCCGAGCUGAGUGGGUACCAUCCCGCAAAAAUACGAAAAUGAGAGGCUGAGAUAGUUUAACUUUUGGAAAGAACCGAUCCACUGCGGAAUCGGUAUGCACGCAAAGUAAUUGCUGCUGAGAUCCAAAUAGCUCAGUUGCUUAAGACGGAGCAAAGAAGGAUUGAUUUUGUUGCCGACAAUCCCCCUCCCUUGAAGAUCUAUAUGCACGACAUGUCCGGUUCGGUUGUCGCACUCCACGCCUUCCCAUUUGCAGCAAUCAUUUCCCUCCCAAGAAGAGAAGAUAGCUGCAGUUUGGUUGAAAUCUCUGGCAAACUGCAGAAGUGCUUCUCUCUCGGCAUCUGGGCAAUUACUAUUAGAAGAUCUAAAUGCCACAGCGUAUGCAAACGAGAGGAACAGCAGCAAAGCUCUUACUAUUGCUUUGUAAUCCAUUCUCAGAUUUUUGUUAUUUAUAUGUAUGUUUUUUUCUUUUGUGCUGGCUUGUGUACCAAUUUAUGUAUGUAAAUACCUAGCUGGUUAGAAAGCUAGUAGGCUAAGAUGAGGUUAUUAAUUUCCAAAACGACUUUUCUUCUCACAAAUAGCUUUCGAGAUGACUUGACUUCAGUUGACUGGGAGUCUACAUUUGAAUUUAGAGAACUGCAAUUUAAGAGAAAUUUGAAAUAGUCAAGAUCUUGCUUUCGCAUUAAUUUCAUGAUUCAAUAAUAAAGUCAAGAUCCAUCACUCCUAUUCAUUUCAUGAAUCAAAUAUUAUUAAAAUAUUAUAGAGAUCUAGUAAUCCCUUACGUUAUCAAGAUAGUGACGAAUCCACAUAGUAUUUAAAACUGCGUGUAUUUUAAUUAGCUAAUAAAAUUUUAUAUGCCGACAAGACAACAACAUCAAUAAUUAUAUAUAAAAACAACAUUAUAUAUAAAAAAAUUGUGGUAGAAAUUAAUAUUAUUUGCAAUAUCUCGCAAACAUUUUCUUAAACUUUUAAACUUUGUCAACUAACCUUUAGAGCUUUUUUCUGAACUUUCAAAAUUUUUUUUUCUCGAUUAAACAGGGAUAUACUCUAUAUAUUUACAGGAAAGACCUCAGAGAAGGUCUAGGAAGCCAGGAGGGGUGCAAAAGAAAACAAAAGCGGACGAACGAUGGCUAAAAGAAGAAGUGAGCAAAACAAGAAGUGAACAAAAUCAAGAGAGGAGCCCUGGUCAACUCAGGAGCAGCGAUUUCCAUAGUUCCACCGAGUUCACGGCAUAUCUCCUGAGGUUGUCACUUUGGCAACAACGAUUGUCGAAAAUCCUUCUAUUCCUCUCAUUCCACACUUCCCAACAUGCUGCUGCGAAAUAGAAAUCAAUUUUAGUUUUGGCUGAUCCCGCUGCCUCGCGUCUUAUUAGUCUCCACCUUUGAGUUAAGUUUCCGGAUAGAGAGCUCGUGAAGUGCGUUGUUGUAAUACUAUUGUGUGGCAGCCCACUCCACAAGUGUCUUGCAUACGUACAUUGGAAUAAAAUAUGAUUCAAAGAUUCGCUGUUUAAGUUGCAAAGCACACAUAUCGAAGGCCCGUUCCAACCCUUUCUCUGUAGAACCUCGGCAGUGAGAACUUUGUUUCUCGCUGCUAACCAAAGGAAGAUCUUGAUUCUGAGCGGGAUCUUGGUAUUCCAAAUGAACGAUAAAUUAGAAUCUUUAAUUCUGUCGUACGUUAGGAAGUUGUAGGCACUCCGAACCGAAAAUUGUCCAGAGUUAGUCCACCUCCAUGUGGGCGUGUCCUCGCUGUGGUCCGAUUGCGUCCAGGUUUGUCACAAAUCCGAAAGCUUUAAUAGUUCCUCUUGCAUCCUGGGGCAAAGAGGUGACCUAAAGCCAAGGUUGGUGAGUGUUGCGAAGCGCCUCAUCCAGUUUGAUACUGAAAUCUGUUUAGAGCUCGAAGCGGCAUAAAGGUGAGUAAGGCAAUUUUUGAGAAGGAAGUCACCGCACCAUCUGGAAUUCAAGAAAGACACCACUUUGCCAUUGCCCAGGGCGAAAGAGGCCGAAGUGUGAAAAGGCGCAGCCAGAUUGAGAAUACCCCGCCAGAUUGGGCAGCUAUUAGCCGGUUUAGAGUUCGUAUUCGAUGGUAAUCUAUGUUUGUAAUGCUUCUGCAUCAGCAGCCUGACCCAGGGUGUUGAUUGGGAAGUAGAAUUUCCAAAGUGCUUUCUGAACUUUCAAUUUUAGUAACUAGGUCUCUUAAACUUAAUCAAAUAAUUUAAUUGGUUUUUCCUCAGAAUCACUGUCGACGCUAGAGCUGAGACUAUGCCAAGGCGCCGAUCUCCAGGUGGACCAGAGGAGGCGCCACCGCUGCGUACCCGACAGGGGCGGGCGGAGCUUGGGAAUGGAGGAGCUGUCACUGCGCCGCGCCGUCGACCGUCCGGCAGACGUGAGGAACCGCCCACGAUGCGCUCUCUGCGUAGUGGGCGCUGCACUCUUAGGAUGCCUGGGCGUGUGGGGACGGGCGAUCACCGCCGGUCGCCUGCGAACAGGCAGAGCACGUCGCCUGAUGCUGCUUUUUGGCCGCAGCGCCACCCUCAGCGUUCCCUGCAAUGUUCCCCGACUGCUCGGCGGCCGCCGGUGAGGGCACUAGGGUGGGUGAAGGCUGGCCGGACCGCGGGUCUCGCUUCGGGGCUGGUGAGAGCGUUGACCGAGGAGGGCCGUGUAGGGCGCGUCAUCCAAGGGCGCCGCCUGGGAGAGGGAGUGCGAAAUCCGGCGCUGUCACACUUUUGGGAUUCGAAGGGAUGGUUGUAGAUCACAGUACUCAGAGUCUUUCCCCAACCAUGCCAAUUUUUUUAAUGGCAGGGGCAGGUUGGGAUGGCAGUGUGUUGGGUAGGCCUUUAAUGCUCUGUAGGGGAGAUCGAGUGUAUCUGUGGGUUGGGGGAUCUUUUUCUAAAGUGGUGGUUAGCCUUUUCGGUCUGCGUGCCAACCUUGAGGAAUGGGUCUAUGAUGCUGGGGUCAACCAUGGUGCUUUGCCCGAUGGAAUGCAGGGAGGAGGCCACGACUCGAGUUGUGCGGUUGUGGACUUAAAUGCUCCGAGUCGCACCGAAUUGUUGACUGUGGACGAGGAUGAAGUUGAACGGGUCAAGGAAAUGAAGCUCAUUGGCUCGGUUCGGACACGGGCCCAAAUUGGGAAGGUGUUAACCUCGUCGUCAAAGAAUACUAAAACCACCCCUACUCGAUCCAGUGUGCGGCUCGCCUGCACUGAUAGAGUCCCAAUCCUUUGUAAAGCUCUAUCCAGAAAGAAGAGGCUCCUAGAAGGAGGAGGUGCCGAGGUCUCCGAGAGCACGGUGAGGAAGAUCGUGCAUAAGAGCGGCCGGUGCGGGGUGAGCUUGGACGGAACUGAGGCGAAGAAUUUCGCCGAGUUUGCGAGCUUUUGAGCUCAUGGAGGGGCGAGUGGACUACAUGGUGGACACCUUUUGGCUUUUUUUUGGGGAGUCGUGUCUACAUUAUGGUUAUGCUUAGUAUUUGUAGCUGGAAUGUUAGAGGGCUUAAUGAUCCCUCCAAACGGUUUAUGGUGCGUGAUGUUAUUUCGAAUUUACGUAACUCUGUAGUGUGCCUUCAGGAAUCUAAGGUUGACCGUGUAUCGAGGUCUUUUCUUCGUAGCUUAGCAGGAUCCUUCCUCGACAAAAGCGUUUUUCUUGAAUCUAACGGUGCAUCUGGUGGUCUGAUUACUUGUUGGAGUUCCCGAGUAUUUAAUUGCAAAGAAGUAAUUGUCAGAAAUUAUUCCAUCUCGGUUCUAUUGGAAAUGGUUAACUGCGGAACACGUUUUUUUGUCACAAAUGUCUACGGCCCAGCUUCUUGGGAUGGUAAGGAGGACUUCUUUUCGGAACUAUUGCUUUUGAAGGACUGCUGCAAGGGCAAAUGGGUGAUGUGCGGAGACUUUAACUGUACGCGAGGAGCGCAUGAGCGUAACGGAAAGAUCUGGAGCUCAAGAGCGACGGCCCUAUUUAACAAUCUCAUCUCGGACCUUGAACUAAUUGAUCUCCCAAUGACUAAUCAAUCCUUCACUUGGUCUAAUCUCCAGAAGCCCCCCACCUUGGCCAGACUGGACCGGUUUCUUGUUUCAACAGAGUGGGAUCAGAGUUUCCCUACUUCCAAGGUGACCGGGCUACCCAGAGUGGUCUCGGAUCACAGUCCCAUCCUUUUAUCGGUUUCCAACCCUUCGAAGAGGUCAAGAACGAUUUUCCGUUUCGAACCUACCUGGCUUAACCACGAGGACUUUAGGUCUAAGCUGCCAGGCUGGUGGGAAGAGGGCCGUAGGCACAAUUCAGCUGUUCUAACUUUCACUGAAAAAUUGAGACACUGCCGUAGAAGAAUUAAACAGUGGUGUGCCAACGAAUUCUAUAGCAUCAGACGAGUUAAGAACAAACUCUUGGGAGACAUCCAGAACAUCGAUAAAGAGGAAGAAGUGUAUCCUUUAACUCAGGAAUUAGCCGCUUUGAGGGAAGAGCUUAAGACCAAACUGGCCGGGGUGCUCAAGGACGAGGAAGCUCUAUGGAAAAGUAGAGCGAAACAACAUUGGCUACGGGAAGGCGACAGCAAUACCAAAUUCUUUCAUACUGUAGCCAACGGUCGCAGAAGAACGAACAGAAUUGACGCUCUAGAGGAAGAAGGAAGGGUGUAUCAAUCCGAGGGCGAGAAGCAAAAUUUACUUUUCCAGAAGUUCAAGAACCUUUUCACACCUGAAGAUUUUGCACCACACUCUUUCGGGGAUUGGAGUGAGCUCUUUACAACUAGGCGGGUCGAUACGAGCAACCUUGCGCAUANGAGGGAAACUGGGGGCCUAAUUUACAGCCACCAAAGUCCAAAUAAUCGAGUUGGAAAGGAGGAACCCAGUUGUAGGUCAGAUUCAAAACCAAGGAGUUGGAAUUCAGGUCCAUAUAAUCUAACUCUGUAAGAUUAGAAAAAUGAUAUUCUGAAAUAACUCCGACAAGAGAGUUGGAGCUAAGAUCCAAUGAUUUUACCUCACUAAGGUUUCCAAGACAUUCCGAAACAGUGCCAUUUAGCUUAUUUUUAUGCAAAUAUAACAUUUGUAAGGUGGAUAGUUUACAAAAAGAUGUGGGGAUCGAACCGGAAAGUGAGUUAAAUGAAAGAUCAAGAAUAUUUAGAUUGUUCAGGUCACCGAUCCAAUCUGGCAAGUUGCCACUUAGAGAAGUCAGACUUAAGUACAACUCUUGCAAACUGUUUUUGAGACACCCAGAAAAAGACGCUUCGAGUGCAUCUAAUUGGGAAUUAAUUGUGGAGUAUGAUAAAUCUAGCGUGCGAAGCUCACAGAGAUUGCUCAAACUAGACGGUAUCCCGGCAUCAAGGAUAACAUAUUCUAGUUGGAGAACCUUCAGAGAAGCCAAGCUUCCAAUUGCAGAUGGAAUGAGCUCUGUAAAUCCACUAAAAGUGAGAUAAAGAUAUUGAAGGGAAGUAAUUCUAAACAACCAGUCGGGUAAGCUAGGAUUUACUUCGCUGUUAUUAGAAUAAUCAUAGAAUGAUGCAUAAGAAAGAUCCAAAAGGGAAAGAGACGUAAAAUUUACAUGCGGGAGAGAUUGUGGAAAGUUACCGAAGGAGCAGAACUGCAAACGAAUAUCUUGUACUAAAGGAAGCAUGUUCAAUGCUUGCAGCCAAUUAGAUGCAUCGUCAAUCAUAAAAGAGCUCAUAUCAAUAUGAAGUAGAGAGGUGAGUCGAGAAAGCCAAUUCGCGUUGCUCAAUGUAAGCAGAUUAUCGGAAAGAUCGAGGAUUUGAAGCCUUGAGAGAUUUCCGAGCUGAUCGGGUACCAUCCCGUAAAAAUUCGAGUGAGAUAGGUUAAGAUAGUUUAAAUUUUUGAAAGAACCGAUCCACGGCGGAAUCGAGAUGGACCCAAAGUAAUUGUUGCUGAGGUCUAAAUAGCUCAGCUGCUUAAGACGGAGCAAAGAAGGAUCGAUUCUGUUGCUGACGAUUCCCCUCCAUUGAAGAUCUAAAUGCACGACGUGUCCGGUUCGGUCGUUGCACUCCACGCCUUCCCAUUUGCAGCAAUUUUUUCCCUCCCAAGAGGAGAAGCCAGCUGCAACAGUUCGGUUGAAAUCUCCGGCAAACCACAGAAGUGCUUCUCUCUCGGCUUCUGCAGUUCGGUUGAAACCUCCGGCAAAUCUCAGAAGUGCUUCUCUCUCGGCAUCUGGGCAACUCAUAUUAGAAGAUUUGAAUGCCAUUGCAUAAGCGUACAAGAGGAAGAGCAGCAAAGCUCUUAUCAUUGCUUUGUAAUAAUCCAUUCUCAGAUUUUUGUUAUUUAUAUAUUUUAGUUUCUUUUGUGCUGGCUUGUGUACCCAAUGCAUGUAUUGUAAAUUUAUAUAGUUAGCGAAAGCAGGUAGGCUAAGAUGAGGUCAUUAAUUUCCAGGACAACUUUUCUUUGCAGAGAUAGCUUUCAAGAUGACUUGACUUCACUUGACUUAGAGUCUACAUUUGAAUUUAGAGAACUGAAAUUUAAGAGAAAUUUGAAAUAGUCAAGAUCUUGCUUUCGCAUUAAUUUCAUGAUUCAAAUAAUAAAGUCAAGAUGCAUCAUUCCUAUUCAUUUCAUGAAUCAAAUAUUAUUAAAAUAUUAUAGAGAUCUCGUAAUCCCUUACGUUAUCAAGAUAGUGACGAAUCCGCAUAGUAUUUAAAACUGCGUGCAUUUUUCUUAGCUAAUAAAAUUUUAUACGCUGACAAGACAACAAUAUCAAUAAUUAUAAAUAAAAACAACAUUAUAUAUAAAAGAAUUGUGGUAGAAAUUAAUAUUAUUUGCAAUAUCUCGCAAACAUUUUCUUAAACUUUUUUUUGAGAAAAAGGUAGCACGCUACCUGCUUCAUUCAUUUAGAAGAUGAAUAACAUUUUCUUAAACUUUUAAACUUUGUCAACUAACCUUUAGAGCUUUCUUCUGAACUUUUAAUUUUAAUAACUAGGUCUCUUAAACUUAAUCAAAUAAUUUAGUUGGUCUUUUCUCUGAAUCAAAGUUACUAAAAAAACAGUUAAGCAGAUGACAUGCAUGUCCCAAAGAUGAUUCUGUAAAAUUUUAAAAUACAAAAAAAAAAAAGAAAUGCAAAAUACAAAAGUGUCCAUUAUUCAACGUAAUAAUUAUUCUUUUUUUUUUCGAGAAAGAGGUAGCAAGCUACCUGCUUCAUUCAUUAAGCCAAAUGAAAUAAUAAUUCAUCGCAAGUGGCGAGAGAGACCUCUUUAAUUUUCUUGUCGAUAUUUUGAUAGACACUUUUCUCUGCAUUUUAUUUUAUUUUAUUUUUCAGUAUCGUAGUAGACACUUUUCUCCUGUAUUUUAAUGUGGAAAUACUAAUCCUGGGUGCCUCUGCUGAUCACACUCCACCUGAAACACCAGUUAAAAGGGGAAUGCUAUUGUUGCCAAUUAAUUAAAAAUAAAAUAAAAUUUAUAAAAUCAAGAAUAAGUUAUAUACACAACUAAAAUCAAAUAAUGGAGAAUUAGUGAAUGCAAUUUAACCAUUGCCUCUAUUAACAUUAUUUCUUAGUUUCUACGCUAAAUUAUAUAAAAAAAAAAUCUCUAGCACUUUACAAUUGUCUGAAUUAGGUUAAAAAAAUUAAAAUAAUUGUUGAACUCUGUUGUAAAAUAUAUACAUAUUUUUUAUGAGAUAAAAUAUUAUUGUAAUAAUUUGACCUUAUUGGAUCUUUCGUUUCACAAUGCGUAAUAUUCUAGUAAUCUUUCAUAUUUCUUAAUCAAAAUAUUCAAAUUGUCAUCAUAUAAUUGAAGUUGGAAAAUUGUAAGAGGUGUUGGUGAUAUCAUGAAAUUAUGGUAGGCUUCCAACUAAUAGGCAAACUAUAAUAUCAUUGAUUAAAAAGUUUUAUCAUUUCUCUAACACCACAAUAUAUAGUCCCACAUCUGAUGGAAAAAUAAUUCCGAUUGAAUAUAUGAGGCCGCACACGCUAAUAAUAACAACUAGGGUUAAGUAUUUUGGCCAGUAGUUUUGAGCCUAACGAGUUAUUAUUGUUAGCGGGUCGAGUCGUUACAUCUUUACUAAAAUUAUAUAACUAUCUCGCUAAAUCCGUACGUAGCUAUCUCUGUUGCAACUUUUACCAAAUUUCACACUUUGUUAACUAAUUCAUUUAGCUUACAUGCUGCGAAUUUAUGUUAGACCAAGUCACGUUUGAAAUAGGGGGAGAUCGGAUUGCGCCGAGUCAUGUUCGAAAUGGCAUGAGGUUGGAUGGGCCGAGUCACAAUCGGAACCCCUGGGUGUUGUGUCUAUACGUCUCAACUGAAGUGAUUGUAUAUUUCUAACAAAUUAAGCUUUUGAAAUUAAUGAUUUGCUCCAAUGAUUCGACAAGGGGUACUCCACUUUCCUUCUUCUACUCAUCUUCUUUGUUGAACCUUUAACUGAGCUUUAUGAUUCUGCUUUUUUACAUUGCUCUAUUUGCUAGAUCUCUAAGAGCUUUUGUAAUUCAUAUUGCACUAUUUUGGAGACAUGCUGACUGUGUACUUCGUGGUUGUUGUUUCGUUAGAAGUAAUCUCCAGAGUCUCGCGUGUGAAGGGACAAUCUUACUUCUAAGACAGUGUCUAGCACCUCUCGACCCACAAGUCUUAUCUAAAGUUUUAUCUCUAUAAUAUUUUGCAAUUGAUUCUUAUAUGCGAUCUUUCAAAAUAGUUCUUUUAGUAUUUUCAAAUCGAUCGAAGUCUAGUUUCUUCAAGCUAAAUUUAUUUCUAAAAAAAAUAAAUGAAGUGGGUAGCAUGCUAACUUUCUCUCCUAAAACAAAAAUUUACAUCAGAAUAUUUAAAAGGAUAAUUUCUGGUAAAAAAAUGGACAAUUUUUUUAACAGAAUUUACUUGAAUUAUGGAUUAUUUUAAGUCGAAUGGCUGAUUCUUCAGAAUUUUGAUUUUACUAUCUAACAUUUUCAAUUUAUUUGAUUUAAAUUAGUUAACACAAAUUUGACUUAAAAAUUUAAGCUAAUUACUUUUUAGUAAAUUUAUAGUUGUGAGAUUUACAUCCAUAGUCUUUAAAAAUAUAUCUAUGUAGGAGCAGUAAUUGUAUGAAUCUGAGCGUACAAGUCAUUGAAACUGGAUGAACGAAUUAGAACGCAAUACAUGUAGACAAUGAUGUGCACCAUUUGAUUAGAAAAAUCUUAAUUAAGAAGAAAGGAAAAGAAAUGGAAAAAUAUAAUUACGAGAUGAGGUCGCAUGAAAUCAAUUAAAUCUUCAAUUAGGCACAAGUGUACUUGCCCAGAGGCCUUGAUGGAGGAAACUUAUCCUAAUUGGAUUAAAAAUUUCUUACACAAAAAUAUAUCUUUCAUUUGCUUAGGUUAAAUCACGUGAUUUAAAGAGUCAAGUUAAUUUUUGUCUAUGAUAGUAGUUACUCCAUCUACAUUAUGGGACUAAUUGGUCCACUUAUUUUAUUUGGUUUCGUGUAGUUACAACCGCUAUAAUUAUACAUAUUUAUUCUCUUCGGUAGUUUGAAAAUGUCUUUGCUUUCUCUCAAAUUGGAUGAUUUGAAUUUUUUUUUUUUUAUUGAUAUGGCUGGAAUUAGAGUUAAUUUGAGUGUAAUUCCAAUUAUAAUAGUUAGACUUACAUAUGCUGAUCCAAACACUAAUUUAAAUUUAUGGACAAUCAAAACUAUAGUAUAGUAGUACUUGUGCGCAAUCAAAUAGCCACAAUAUCUAGCAAAGAUUAUGGCUGCAGUUUAUAAUUUUUCUUAAAAUAGAGACUCGGAAUUCAAAAAGAAAAAAAAAAAACUCGUUAGCAAAGUGUAAAUUUCCAAUCAAAUUGGAACAUAAAGAAAAAUCCAAUUCAAAAUGAAUUGAGCUUUGAAGAGGUUGAUGGCAAUAAAAUUUGUUGUGCAUCUUAUAUAAAAGUAGAGAAGAGAGAAGUUGUCUUAGGUUGUUUUUUUUUCAGAGAAAAAUAUAGCAUAUUAUCUGCUUUGUUUAUUUUUUUUAGAAAUAAAUUUAGUUGGAAACAUGAAGCAGCUAUGCUUCGAAUUUGGGAUCUCGGGUACUAACUAUCAAGCCAAUUAAUUUGCCACAUGCACUAAGGUGAAAUUAUUUUAGGUUGUAAAUGCUCAUUUUCAUUAAUUAUUUGGUUCUUUGUAAACAAAAUUUCUCAUAAACUCUACUUUUCUAGAAAACGCUGCCCGGAAUGAAGAUCAAGUCAAUGACAAGAUAGACAGAGAAAGGAAAAUUAAUAAAGAAACAUAUAUAACUGCUGUAGUAAUUUUUUUUUUUUUACCCUUUUAUAUACUAGUGUGAACAUUUUUUAAAAAAUAAAUAAAUAAGGGAUAAUUGUAUUCUAAAGCCAUUGACUUUUUNUUCCACAUCUAAUGGAAAAAUAAUUCCGAUUGAAUAUAUGAGGCCGCACACGCUAAUAAUAAUAACUAGGGUUAAGUAUUUUGGCCGGUAGUUUUGAGCCUAACGAGUUAUUAUUGUUAGCGGGUCGAGUCGUUACAUCUUUACUAAAAUUAUAUAACUAUCUCGCUAAAUCCGUACGUAGCUAUCUCUGUUGCAACUUUUACCAAAUUUCACACUUUGUAAAAUAAUUCAUUUAGCUUACAUGCUGCGAAUUUAUGUUAGACCAAGUCACGUUUGAAAUAGAGGGAGAUCGGAUUGCGCCGAGUCAUAUUCGAAAUGGCAUGAGGUUGGGUGGGCCAAGUCACAAUCGGAACCCCUGGGUGUUGUGUCUAUAUGUCUCAACUGAAGUGAUUGUAUAUUUCUAACAAAUCAAGCUUUGGAAAUUAAUGAUUUGCACCGAUGAUUCGACAAGGGGUACUCCACUUUCCUUCUUCUACUCAUCUUCUUUGUUGAACCUUUAACUGAGCUUUAUGAUUCUGCUUUUUUACAUUGCUCUAUUUGCUAGAUCUGAGAGCUUUUGUAAUUCAUAUUGCACUAUUUUGGAGACAUGCUGACUGUGUACUUCGUGUUUGUUGUUUAGUUAGAAGUAAUCUCCAGAGCCUCGUGUGUGAAGGGACAAUCUUACUGCUAAGACAGUGUCUAGCACCUCUCGACCCACGAGUCUUAUCUAAAGUUUUAUCUCUAUAAUAUUUUGCAAUUGAUUCUUAUAUGCGAUCUUUCAAAAUAGUUCUUUUAGUAUUUUCAAAACGAUCGAAGUCUAGUUUCUUCAAGCUAAAUUUAUUUCUAAAAGAGAUAAAUGAAGCGGGUAGCAUGCUAACUUUCUCUCUAAAGACAAAAAUAUUUUCAAAUCAAAAUAUUUAAAAAGGAUAUAUAAUUUUUGGUAAAAGAAUGGACAAUUUUUUUAACAAAAUUUACUUGAAUUAUGGAUUAUUUUAAGUUGAAUGGCUGAUUUUUCAGAAUUUUGAUUUUACUAUCUAACAUUUUCAAUUUGUUUGAUUUAAAUUAGUUAACACAAAUUUGACUUAAAAAUUUAAGCUAAUUACUUUUUAGUAAAUUUAUAGUUGUGAGAUUUACAUCCAUAGUCUUUAAAAAUAUAUUUAUGUAGGAGCAGUAAUUGUAUGAAUCUGAGCCUACAAGUCAUUGAAACUGGAUGAACGAAUUAGAACGCAAUACAUGUAGACAAUGAUGUGCACCAUUUGAUUAGAAAAAUCUUAAUUAAGAAGAAAGGAAAAGAAAUGGAAAAAUAUAAUUACGAGAUGAGGUCACAUGAAAUCAAUUAAAUCUUCAAUUAGGCACAAGUGUACUUGCCCAGAGGCCUUGAUGGAGGAAACUUAUCCUAAUUGGAUUAAAAAUUUCUUACACAAAAAUAUAUCUUUCAUUUGCUUAGGUUAAAUCACGUGAUUUAAAGAGUCAAGUUAAUUUUUGUCAAUGAUAGUAGUUACUCCAUCUACAUUAUGGGGCUAAUUGGUUCACUUAUUUUAUUUGGUUUCCUAUAGUUACAACCUCUAUAAUUAUAUAUAGUUAUUCUCUUCGGUAGUUUGAAAAUGCCUUUGCUUUCUCUCAAAUUGGAUGAUUUGAAUAUUUUUUUUUAUGGAGUUAAAUUUGAGUGUAAUUCCAAUUAUAAUAGUUAGACUUACAUAUGCUGAUCCAAACACUAAUUUAAAUUUAUGGACAAUAAAAACAAUAGUAUAGUAGUACUUGUGCGCAAUCAAAUAGCCACAGUAUCUAGCAAAGAUUAUGGCUGCAGUUUAUAACUUUUCUUAAAAUAGAGACUCGGAAUUCAACAAGAAAAAAAAAAAACUCGUUAGCAAAGUGUAAAUUUCCAAUCAAAUUGGAAAUGAAAGAAAAAUCCAAUUCAAAAUGAAUUGAGCUUUGAAGAGGUUGAUGGCAAUAAAAUUUGUUGUGCUUCUUAUACAAAAGUAGAGAAGGGAGAAGUUGUUUUAGUUUUUUUUUUUUUUCAGAGAAAAAUAUAGCAUAUUAUCUGCUUUGUUUAUUUUUUUUAGAAAUAAAUUUAGUUGGAAACGUGACGCAGCUAGGUUUCGAAUUUGGAAUCUCGGGUUCUAACUAUCAAGCUAAUUUGCCACAUGCACUAAGGUGAAAUUAUUUUAGGUUGUAAAUGCUCAAUUUCAUUAAUUAUUUCGUUUUUUGUAAACAAAAUUUCUCAUAAACUCUACUUUUCUAGAAAACGCUGCCCGGGAUGAACAUGAAGUCAAUUACAAGAUAGACAGAGAGAGGAAAAUUAAUAAAGAAACAUAUAUAACUUUUUUUUUUUUUGAGAAAUAGGAAACAUAUAUAACUGCUGUAGUAAUUUUUUUUUUUACCCUUUUAUAUACUAGUGUGAACAUUUUUUAGAAAAUAAAUAAAUAAGGGAUAAUUGUAUUCUAAAGCCAUUGACUUUUAUCAAGGAACAACGGUAGAAAACACAUUAUUCAUUUGAACAUCACUAACAUUAAAAGCCACUUUUAACUUCACAAUCAAUUACUUUUAAGUAAAUAAAGGGGUUCAAUCUGGGGACUUGGGGAACGACGUGAGAAGCACGUGGGAUAGGUGGAUGUUAAGAAACAGAUCUCAGCCUGUUCGAACAAGAUUGACCAGCUUGAUAGCCUACUGAUGGAUCAACUGGAAUUCAAGAAAUAGUGCUAUUUUUAAGAAUAAAUACGCAGACUCUCUGAUGAUGAUAACUAAGAUCUCAAGAUUGGCUACCCAGUGGAAGGAUUGUCUGUCAUUUAAAAGCCAAGUUUCUUAGGUUUUUUUUUUUUUUUUUUUUUUUUUUUUUUUUUUUUUUUUUUUUUUUUUUUUUGCUUGUGCUUUUGCUUUUACCGAGAUUUUUUUACUUCACUCAUAUUGCUUAAUUCAUACUUCUAACGAAUGAAGUAGGUAGCAUGCUAUCUAUUUCUCAAAAAAAAAAAGAAGAAAAAACUAAACAAACAGGCCCUUUGAGUUGAAAUAUAAUGCAACUCACAUUUCCACGAGUUCGAGUAAUUGCAAGUCGUUUGCGGCGGACUGGCCUAUCUCGGAUGGUCUGGAAGGCUUGGACCUGGUCGGCUUGGACGGUCUGGAUUUGGGCUCCCUGUUGGCCCCUCCAUUCCUCCACUCGGGCCCACCCCUGGCUGUGCCUCUUUUGGUCUGGUGGACUCCUCGGGCUCACUCUUGCCCAGAUCUAUUUGUUUCUCGGGCCCCCCACUCGGGCCCACCCCUAGCAGAUCCCCCUCCUGUCAGGUGGACUACUUGGGUUUCCUUCACCUCGAGGGCCCUUCUCUCGGACCCAUCCCCUUCGCGAUUCUGGUUCUUUCUGCUCCUCGGCAGGUCGACCGUGAAGCUCUCGACUCUGCUUUGAAGCUCUCCUCCCCGACCGCCCCCCCUUCUCUCGGGACCACUGCUGCUUCGGAGAUCUCCACCCUUCAUCCUCCUGGGCCCUCCGCGAACCUGGGUCUUGCUUCGCUGGGCCAGGCCGCUUGCGUUGCUUCAUUGUCUGCCCCGGAAAUCUCCUCUUCAAUCUCCCUCCCUUCUCUCGGGCCCUCCGGAAACCUGGCGCCUGCUGCUCCUGGACCAGCUGUUUGCGAAGCCUCGUUGUCUGCUUCAGAGGCCCCCACUCCGACCAACCGGCCUUCGCUCGUCGUGGAUCCCGCCCCAUUCCCCCCGAGUGAGCCGAGGGGGCCGCCGCCGCCGAGAUCGAGUGCGCGCCUAGUCCAUUUUUCGAAAGGCUCUGCACUUGAGAGGGCGAAGCACCGAAAAGCUCUUCUCCUUGAAGGAGGGACGGGAGCCUUACCGCGCAACUGGAACACCAAAACGCUCUUGUCAAAGAGCUCUCUCUGCGGGGUGACACUCUCCAAUGCUGAAGCAGACGACCUCCAGAGCUUCCUCCUGCGAGGUUGAUCAUCUGAUGGACGAUCCUGUAACUGUGCCCUGUUUUGUGUCUGUCGCUUGUGUGUGUCUCUAUUUUCUCCAUGUUUAGCCUUCUAAGUUGGAAUGUUCGCGGUCUUAAUGACCCAGUCAAACGCAGUUGUGUUAAGUCAGUGGUCUCUAAACUCUUUUGCUCGGUCAUUUGUAUCCAAGAAUCUAAAGUAGAUUCAGUGUCCCGCUCUUUUCUACACUCUUGUUGCGGCUCUACUAUUGACAGAUGUCACUUCACUCCCGCAAUUGGGGCAUCUGUCAAGCGGAACGAGUUUCUACUUAACAAACGUUUAUGGGCCCCCAACCUGGGACGGGAAGGAAACCUUUUGCUCCGAAUUGUUGUCCCUCAACAAUAUCUGCUCUGAUAAUUGGGUCAUUUGCGGCGAUUUCAACUUCACCAGAAACCAAGCGGAACGAACUGGAAAGCAGUGGAGCACCAGAGCCAUGUCCAUGUUCUCUAAUCUCAUUUCGAACCUUGCGGUUAUCGAUCUGCCAAUCUCCAAUCAAAAAUUCACUUGGUCAAACAUGCAACGGACACCAACCCUUGCCAAGCUUGACCGUUUCCUAGUUUCAACAGAUUGGGAUCAAUCUUUCCCCCUUAGUAAGGUCACUGCGCUCCCUCGGAUCACAUCCGAUCAUACUCCGAUCGUUCUUUCUACGAGAACCCACUACACCACACGGAGAUUCCGAUUCGAGAGGGUCUGGCUCACCAAGGAGGAUUUCAUCAACAAAGUUUCGCUAUGGUGGAAAGACGUCACUCCUAAGAGAUCGUCUAUCCUCACCCUAACCGCUAAGCUCAGACACUGCAAAGCCAGAAUGAAAGAAUGGUGCAAGACGAACUUCCAUAGCAUAACUAACGCAAAAAGGGUUCUACAGGAAGAAAUUCAAAGCUUUGAUCUCCUAGAAGAACGGGCUAGCCUGCCUCAGGAAACUCUGGAUAAACGGGCUGACCUUAAAUCGCAACUCCUGCUUAUCAUUAAGGAAGAAGAAAUUCUUUGGAAAACUAGGGCUAAACAGCUUUGGCUCAAGGAGGGCGAGAGUAACAGUAAAUUCUUUCACGCGGUUGCCAACGGGCGUAAGCGAAGCAACGCGAUAGAUUUUAUUGAAGACGAAUCUGGACGCCAAAUCUUUAACGAAGUCCAAAAGAGGUCCUAUAUCUUUCAUUCCUUCAAACGACUGUACGGGCGGGAAGAGGAGGAACCGCCAUCCUUCGGAGACUGGAGUGGCCUCUACAGUGGAGGCACUGUGACUGACCCUGAUUCUCUUACUAGCUCAUUCACACAGGAGGAAAUUAAGAAUGCUACCUUUCAGCUGGGCUGUGACAAGGCCCCGGGACCUGAUGGCUUCUCUCUCACCUUCUUUCAACACUUUUGGGAGAUAGUUAAGGAGGACAUCUUCAAAAUCUUCACCGAUCUCCAUGAUAACACUCUCUCCACGGCCUCAUCUGACUACUCAUAUGUUUGUCUCAUCCCUAAAAAGGAAGGAGCGCGCAAAUUAAAGGACUUCCGACCGAUAAGCCUCAUCAAUGGGAUCCAAAAGAUAAUCUCCAAAGUUCUAGCCAAUAGACUUGCGCGAGUUUUGCCAACAAUUAUCUCCCCAACACAAUCGGCCUUCCUGAAAGAUCGUCUACUGGCUGACUCCUUUGUCACAGCAAGCGAACUUGUUAACUGGUGCUCAAUAAUUGGUAAGGAGUGCGUCACUAUUAAGGUCGACUUUGAGAAAGCUUUCGAUAAUGUCAGAUGGCCCUUCUUGAAAAGUAUCCUGCGAUGGCUCGGUUUCAGCGACAAAUGGUGGAGUUGGAUUGAACAAUGCAUUUGCAAUGCUAAAAUCGCAGUCUUAGUAAAUGAUUGCCCUACAUCGUGGCUGAAAGCACAGAAGGGGGUUAGACAGGGAGACCCGCUCUCCCCCUACCUUUUCAUCUUGGUCGCCGAUUGCCUGACCAGACUCACUGAAACUGCUAGGGCCAACGGCUUGAUUCACGGAAUUGGCCCAACCGCAGACUGUCAAACUGUGCUUCUUCAAUAUGCGGAUGACACAGUCUUUUUUAGCGAACCACGGAAGUCAUACAUGCGUAACCUCCUGUUUAUUUGGAAGAUCUUCGAAUGGGCAUCAGGACUUAAGAUCAAUAGAAACAAAACGGAACUUUACUACCUGGGUUCAAACCCAAGUAGAGCGGAUACACUCGCCGACAUUUUGGGUUGCAGGGUAGGUAGUCUACCGUUCAGAUACCUGGGGUUGCCGCUUCACAACAAACCACUUCGAAGGGAGGAUUGGGAUCUGAUUGUUAACCGUAUAGAAGCACGUAUAGAGGGUUGGAAGGCUAAACUACUAUCACAAGGAGGAAGGCUCACCCUAGUUAACUCGGUGCUGACAAACUUGCCGCUAUUCUACUUCUCCAUUUUCAAAGCGCCACAAUGGGUUUUACACCGUUUAGAAGCCCUAAGAAGAUCCUUCUUCUGGAAAGGGUGUUCCAAGAUUUCUGGGGGAUCUUGUCUAGUCGGCUGGAAAACUAUCUGCAAAAGCAAACAACAGGGAGGAUUAGGAAUAAAAGAUUUGGAAUCAAUGAAUACGGCACUUCUAACCAAAUGGUGGUGGCGCUUUCUAAAUGAGCCACAACUGCUCUGGGGGAAGUUGAUUAGAUCUUUAUACUACAUCAGAAGAAGGCCGUUACACGAGGGAAGAGCUUUCAGACCCUACUCCCAGUGGUGGAAAAGCGUGAUAAAGUGUCGUGACGUGUUCAGAUGUGGCGUUUCCUAUGUCCUCGGAGAUGGAAGAAACAUUAAGAUGUGGCUCGACAUUUGGUUUGGGGAAACCCCUCUUAGCACCAUGUUCCCCGAAAUCUUCGCCGAAAUUGAGCAUAAGGAGGUCACAGUCUCUCAAUGCUGGAACGCUGCCGGCUGGAGAUGGCGUUUCAUAUCCAGAGGGCUCGCAUCAACUCCUUCCCCAAAUAGUCGGAGACAGCUGACGACGCUAAAAGAGCUGCUAACUCUUUACAAUCCAAACAACACACCGGAUGGGCUCAGGUGGCGGUGGACUAGCGGCGAAACUUUUACUGUCAAAUCUCUAUACAACUUUAUUACUGAUGCAGGACAGAGAGACUUGACGUACGUACACGUUUGGAGUUUACGUACUCCGGUCAAAAUUAAAAUCUUCAUCUGGAUUCUGCUUCGCAAAAGACUUCUUACUGCCGAUAGACUGCUUCUUCGUGGCUUCCCCAUAAACCAGCAUUGUGUUUUCUGCGCUAUCUCCUCAGAAAACUGUGACCAUCUCUUUUGCAACUGUGUUUUUGCCAAAUAUCUACUUUACAGUGUAGGAAUUUCUGACACAUCUAACUAUGGCCUGGGGGACGUGCGACGUAUAUGGGCGAAUACCUCUAAUACUCCGGAUGCUACAAUCAGAAUGCAACGUCUAACCUACUUGGCGGCAAUCUGGUGGGUCAUCUGGACGGAACGCAACAACACUAUCUUCCGUGAGUACCUUCCUAAUGCUACCAGGGCUCUUGAGCGCGUAUCUAACUUGAUGAUUGCUUGGACUUCUAUAUUUUAAAGUCUCACUUGUUCGACCUGUACUUUCUACAUUCGCUCUUGUUUCCUUUCUUCUCCUUUUCCUUCUUCUUUUUUGCUUUUUUUAGGAGGCCCUGGCUGCUUCCAAUAUGUAAGCCUAGUUCAUUUCGCUUGAUGAAUGAAGCAGGUAGCUUGCUACCUCAUUCUCAAAAAAAAAAGAGUAAUUGCAAGAGUUCGAUAUUUUUGUUCCAUCCACUAGCUAUAAGGUUAGUAUUGAAUUAAUUUUCUUACAUUGCUUUACUUUCCCGCAGGAAAGGAGAAAUUUUAUGAUAAAAUAGGAAUAAAAGAAACUAUAUCAAGAGAAGUACUUCCUAAUUGGUUCAAAUGAGAAACAUUUGGCAGCAUAUAGAAAAGAGAAUUCUGCUUUUAUUUAUCAAAAUUGAUUAACUUUCAGAUCAAUACAUUUCAGCCGUCAAUUGUGUUUGUUUUUUACAUCUUUUUCGUAAGUCUUGCAAAGUAUACUCUAGCGGUUACAUAGAGACUGUCAUACAAGCUAUCUACAUAUUGGAACCACCAAACCCUACAUGUCUUGCGUACCAAUAGAACUCCGAUAAUAGUCCAAAACCCAACUGCAAAUCCUGCUAUUGUAAUAAGGCAAAGGAGUAAGAUCUCUUUUCGAUUUUCAUCUGCCUUUUUUGAAACAUCAGAUCCUGCACGACCAUUAACAGUCGGUGGAGUACGACUUAACUGGCCAAUUGUCGGGCCUUCGGCUUGGCCUGCAUUGCUUGUGCAUCUCACACUUAAUGGAAAUCCGCAAAGAUAUUGGUUUCCGACAUAUAUGUUAGGAUCGGGGAAUGUGUCCAUUUGCCUUCCGGUCGGAAUUCUUCCCGAAAAGUUGUUGUAAGAUAAGUCCAAGAAGUCCAAGAAGGUUAAGUUGGACAAGCUAGAAGGAAUUGCUCCUGAUAAUUUGUUUCUCGACAAGUUGAGAGAUUCUAGCUGCAUCAUAUUGCCGAUGUUGGAUGGUACUUGUCCCAUUAGAUCAUUACUCGACAAGUCCAAUAUCAGCAAUCCAAGAAGAUUUGUUAUUUCAUCGGGUAUGCGUCCUGACAAGCUAUUCCUAGAGAGAUCCAAGAUCGUAAUCUGCGAAAGAAGAUUGUUACCAUAUCGAUCUUCUCUUCCUUUGAUGUCCAAUAUCAUAUUCUCCUCAUAGUUAUAUACUGAGUUAUUUAGGAUGAAUCCAAUGUUUGUAAGAGGGGUCCUCAUGGACAUGAAGUUGCCGAAGCUUAUCGGUAUCGGCCCUGAAAGAUUGUUGUUUGAGAGGUCUAAGAUUUGGAGAGCAGUAAGAUUAGAGAGUUCUGUUGGAAUUCGGCCGACAAACUUGUUUGAUUUCAAGCUAAGAAUCUUGAGAGACGAGAGCUCUCCAAGCCAGAUCGGGAUCCUUCCUGUAAACAUGUUACCACCAAGAUCAAGAGUAUCUAGACUCUUGCAGGUCUUUAAGGAUGACGGAAGCUCUCCGGAUAAACUGUUUCCCCUUAGGUGCAAGGAUUGAAACUGAGGCGAUUCACAAAGCCAUUCGGGUAUUCCUCCGGAAAGAUUAUUAUUUGAAAGAUCCAAAACUUCUAAUUGAGUAUUAUUUUGACAGUUUGGGAGCUCUCCUGAUAAAUUAUUGUUUGAGAUUGAUCUGCUAAUCAAUUGUGAACUACAAAUAGACAUGGGGAUCCUGCCAUUUAUUCUAUUCCUCGACAACAAAAGCGCACUUAAAUUAGGCAUUAGCUGGAAAAUAUCAUCAGGAAUAGGGCCCAUAAAUGAAUUGCUUGACAAAUCUAGUUGUGCCGUGUUUGACGGAAAACGUGGCACUGGUCCCUCAAAGAAGUUGGAACUUAAAUCAAUAAAUAAAUCUGUAUCAGCCCUGAAUUUUAUUAAGUUGGGUAUCUCACCAUGUAGCUCAUUAUUAGCGAGAUAAAUGGUAGAAAGAUUGGUCAUUGAGUUCCAAAACCAAUUUGGCACUGAAUCCGAAAUCCCCGUGGAAGAUAGAUCGAGGUGGGCUAGAGACUUCUGAGUCUGUAGCCAUGAGGGAAAUUGGGGGUCUAAUUUACAGCCACCAAAGUCCAAAUAAUCGAGUUGGAAAGGAGGAACCCAGUUGUAGCUCAGAUUCAAAACCAAGGAGUUGGAAUUCAGGUCCAUGUAAUCUAACUCUGUAAGAUUAGAAAAAUGAUAUUCUGAAAUAACUCCGACAAGAGAGUUGGAGCUAAGAUCCAAUGAUUUUACCUCACUAAGGUUUCCAAGGCAUUCCGGAACAGUGCCAUUUAGCUUAUUGUUAUAUAAAUAUAACACCUGUAAGGUGGAUAGUUUACAAAAAGACGUGGGGAUCGAACCGGAAAGUGAGUUAAAUGAAAGAUCAAGAAUAUUUAGAUUGUUCAGGCCACCGAUCCAAUCCGGCAUGUUGCCACUUAGAGAAGUCAGACUUAAGUACAACUCUUGCAAACUGUUUUUGAGACACCCAGAAAAAGACGCUUCGAAUGCAUCUAAUUGGGAAUUAAUUGUGGAGUAUGAUAAAUCUAGCGUGCGAAGCUCACAGAGGUUGCUCAAACUAGACGGUAUCCCGGCAUCAAGGAUAACAUAUUCUAGUUGGAGAACCUUCAGAGAAGCCAAGUUUCCAAUUGAAGAUGGAAUGAGCUCUGUAAAUCCACUUUCAGUGAGAUAAAGAUAUUGAAGGGAAGUAAUUCUAAACAACCAGUCGGGUAAGCUAGAAUUUACUUUGCUGUUAUUAGAAUAAUCAUCGAAUGAUGCGUAAGAAAGAUCCAAAAGGGAAAGAGACGUAAAAUUUACAUGCGGGAGAGAUUGUGGAAAGUUACCGAAGGAGCAGAACUGCAAACGAAUAUCUUGUACUAAAGGAAGCAUGUUCAAUGCUUGCAGCCAAUUAGAUGCAUCGUCAAUCAUAAAAGAGCUCAUAUCAAUAUGAAGUAGAGAGGUGAGUCGAGAAAGCCAAUUAGCGUUGCUCAAUGUAAGUAGAUUAUCGGAAAGAUCGAGGAUUUGAAGUCUUGAGAGAUUUCCGAGCUGAUCGGGUACCAUCCCGUAAAAAUUCGAGUGGGAUAGGUUAAGAUAGUUUAACUUUUUGAAAGAACCGAUCCACAGCGGAAUCGAGAUGGACCCAAAGUAAUUGUUGCUGAGGUCUAAAUAGCUCAGCUGCUUAAGACGGAGCAAAGAAGGAUCGAUUCUGUUGCCGACGAUUCCCCUCCAUUGAAGAUCUAAAUGCACGACGUGCCCGGUUCGGUCGUCGCACUCAAUGCCUUCCCAUUUGCAGCAAUUUUUUCCCUCCCAAGAAGAGAAGUCAACUGCAGUUAGGUUGAAAUCUCCGGCAAACCACAGAAGCGCUUCUCUCUCGGCUUCUGCAGUUCGGUUGAAACCUCGGGCAAACCUCAGAAGUGCUUCUCUCUCAGCAUGUGGGCAACUCAUAUUAGAAGAUUUGGAUGCCAUUGCAUAUGCGAACGAGAGGAAGAACAGCAAAGCUCUUAUCAUUGCUUUGUGAUAAUCCAUUCUCAGAUUUUGUUAUUUAUAUAUUUUUAUUUCUUUUGUGCUGGCUUGUGUAUCGAUGCAUGGAAUGCAAAUAUAUAGUUAGUGAAAGCUUGUAGGCUGAAGAUGAGGUCAUUAAUUUCCAAGCGAACUUCUCUUCGCAGAGAUAGCUUUCAAGAGAACUACAAUUUAACAGAAAUUAGAAAUAGUCAAGAUCGAGCUGGCGCUUCUCAUUAAUUUCAUGAUUCAAUAAUAGAGUCAAAGAUUUCAAUAAUAGAGAAAGAUUCCACGCUCGUAUUAAUUUUUUUUUGAGAAAAAGGUAGCAAGCUACCUGCUUCAUUCCGCUCGUAUUAAUUUCAUAAAUCAAAUACUAUUGAAAGUUGUAACGAAUCCACCUAAUAUUUAAAACUGCAUGUGAUUUUACUUGGCUAAUAAAAUUCUAUACGCCGAUGAGACAACAACAUCAAUAAUCAAUAAUUAUAAUUAUAUGUAUAAAAAUAACAUUAUAUAUAAAAGAAUGAGCUAAGCUAGUAUACUAUUGGUAGCACGAAGGUCUUUUUGCUACUAAGUUGUUUUAAAUAUUACGGCUUCUAAAUCGACGAUCGGCUCCGUUAAACUUAAUCUAGACUAUUAAAAGUAUUGAAAAAUUAAAUUUCAUAAAUUUUCGACAUUAUUUACCUAUCAAACGAAUAGUCAAAAAAUGAACGGCUGAAAAUAAAAAUUUCAUAAAAAAUAAUGAAAAAAUACUUGAAUUUAAGAUCAGAGGACUGAUCUUACUCUAAAUAGUGAAAAGAAUUUUUUAUAAAAAUUUUAUCAGAUUUGGAUAAUUUUAUACCGUUAAAUUCACAAACGCAUCACAUUGACCAUUAAAAUUGUCAAUUUUGAAAUCUUUUGAUCACUAGCCAAAUGAUGUCGAAAAAUUAUGAAAUUUAGUUUCCAAAUACUUUUAAUAGUGUAGAUCAAGUUUAACGGAGCCGAUCAUCGAUUUGGAAGCCGUAUCAUGAAAAACAAUUUGAUAGUACAAAGGCCUCCGUGCUACCAAUACCGAUAGUAUACCAAUAUAGCUCUAAAAGAAUUAUGGUAAAAAUUAAUUUUAUUAGCAAUAAAUGUGCAAACACUUUCUUAAACUUUUAAACUUUGUCAACUUGCUUUUAGAAUUUUCUUCCGAACUUUCAAUUUUGAUAACUCUCUUAAAGUUAAUCAAAUAAUUUGAUCGGCGCUUCCCUUCAAUUGAAGUUUUUUUGAGGAGAGGUAGCAAGUUAUCUGUUUCAUUCAUUGAAUGUAUGAAUUAGGCUACAGAGAUGAGGCAACACGGGCAUCGAAAAACGAUACAACAGUCAUAAAAGAAAAAAAAAAGAAAAAAAGAAAAAAAGGAGAAGAACAAAAAAAAAAAAAAAAAAAAAACACUAAAGGACCGGUCAUAAGAGGGGUUCCGAGUACUUCAGAAGCUGCUUAAUCCGUUGUACAACCAAAACAGGGUCGAAAUGGACGUUUCGAAAAUCAAAUCAUUCCUGGGCUUCCAAAUGGUCCACCAGCAAGCGACCAAUUCAGAUAAGUUAUUUUGCUUAUUAUGCAUCCCUUUUUUGGCCAACCACCUAUCUCAGAUGUAACGUACGUCUUCUUCCAUCUCACCAGCCUGAACUCCUUCUCGAAUCAUCACCAAACUUCCUCUCGAAUCAUCCCAUCUUCCCUUCAAUUGAAGUUACUACUUAAAUAGUUACGAUGAUGGCAUAUCCUGUAAAUGAUUCCGUAAAACUUUAAAAUACAAAAAAAAAAUAAAAAACGAAAUACAGAAGUGCCAUUAUUCAGCUUAAUAAUUAUUGAUUGCAAGUGGUGGAGAGAGAGAACUGUUCACACGAUUGUGGACUCUCAUUUAAUUUUCUUGUCGACAUUUUGAUAGACACUUUUCUCUUGCAUUUUAUUUUUUGUGAUUAAUUUUUAAUAAUUUCGUAGAGACAUCCAUAAUAUUUUGUAAUUUUUGAUAGAUAUAUUUGAAAUUGGCCCUCUAUAUAUUUGGACGUGUUUGUAUUUGACAAUCGGCAACUCCGGUCAGAUGUCCUUGGUAGAUGUAUCCUCGAAACCGUGCUCUGUUGGAAGUCUGUGUUAAGCACUCCUAUCUGUGUUAGGCACUCCUAGCAGCUAGGUGUUUCUUCUGCUUCUGUUUCUGCUUGUUUGCCGUGUCCCUUACGGUCGUGUAAUGGCCUCUUUGUUACUUGGUCGUGUGUUGGGCUUAGGGAUGCAAACGGGACGGAUCUGGGGACGGGAACCCCGCCCCGACUACAAAAAGUUCGCCCUGCCUCCCGCCCAGAAUCCGUGACGAGUUGAAAGUAAUUAUCUCAUAAUCCGCCCCGCCUUAUAACCUGCCCCCCGCCGGCGCCCCGAAUCCGCCUGGCCAAAUAGUAUUUAUUUUCUAAAUUAUAAUAUUAUUAAUAUUUUAUAAAUAUAAAUCAACAAAAUUUUUAAUAUUAAUUGAUAAUAUUAUGAAGUUAUAUAUAAUUAAUAAUAUCAACUAUAAAAAUCAAAAAUAUCAAUCACAACUCACAACAAAAUUCAAAAAUUUUAAAUACAUACAUAUGGAAAAAUUUUAAAGACAUACAUUCGGGGCGGAUUCGGGGCGAUUCGGGGCAGAUCAUGGCGGGGCGGAUUCGGUGGCGGAUCAAAAUUUUCCGUUUCUCUGCCCCGAUUCGCACGGAUCAUAAAAAUUGUCCAUUUACCUGGCCCGAAUCCGUUUAUUUCCUCUGCGUUUACUGCUCUAAUUCGGGGGGUCGGGGUGGAGCUUCCACCACCCUGAUCCAUUUGCAAUCCUAUUGGGCUCUCUUUGCCUCGCUAUGGUUUAAAGAGCCACACACCCGGCCUCUCUGCUCAUGUUCUCUGUGAAAAUAGGGUUUACCCCUGUUUACUCAAAAUAUAUUUUGGACGUGUUGGUUAGUUUUCUUUACUCUGGAAUCGGGAAUGGACUGAAUCUGCUUAUGAAUGUUUGGUAUGGAAAUUCCCAUUCCGAUUCCGAUUUCCGAGUGGAAAGAAAAUUUUCCAAAUCAUCUUCUUUUUUUCCAAUCCGGUUUAAGAGAACAGGAUGGAAGGUUGAAUCCGGACGAAUGGAUUUUAAUUCGAUUAUAAUUUAUUUUUUUUCACACAUUUUUUUAAUUAUAAUAAUGAGUUUAAAUUUAGAAAUUAUAAUAUAUAAUUUAAAUUUAAUUUGAACUUGAAUGUAAAAAUUAAAUUUAAUCAAGUAGUUUUGAAAUCUAACUUAUAAGUGAAUUUAAAUUAAAUUUUAAUUUAUUUAAGUUUUAUUCAAAAUUUUAUUUAAAACUUAAAUUAAUUUUUGAUUCAAUUAGAAAUUAUAAAUUGUAAUUUUAAGUUUGAAUUUGAAUAAAUCGAAAUUAGGUUUUAUAUAUUUGAAUUAUCAACUCAACUUCAAAGUUUAUUUUUUUAAAAGAGGGAGAGUAAGUUGAAAUUGUGACCAGUGUGAGUCACAAAAUUUUGAUAUAAAUUUUUAAUAUUUAAUUUUUUAUUUGAAUUUAAAUUAAUAUAUUAUAAAGAUAAAGUCAAUAUAUUAAUUUGAUUAUGUUUUUUAUAUCUACCUUAACCAAAGACCGACGAUGGGAAUGAUUUAUUUCGAUUCCGAUUUAGGUGAUGAAUCAAAUAGAAUUAGGUAAUAAAUUAUUCCGAUUCUGAUUCCAGUUUAUCUCGAUUCCAAUUCCGACUUCGAACCAAACAAUUUAGGGGGCUAGUUUGAUUUGCUCUUUAUUAACCCCAAAUCAGAAUCGAAAUGAUAUCUUUGGAUUCUAGGCCAUAAUCCUAUUCGAUUUCAUUUUCAUUUUCGCCCCAGAAUGGGAAUUCGCUAAUUCAAGUAAAAGCCAAUCAGGCCUCGAACAUGGAAUUAAAGCUCGACUCCGGCAUCAUAUGAUCUAGGAAAAAUAAAAACUUGUUUGUGCAAAAAAAAAAAAANUGGCCCUGAGACGAUAGCGGGUUGGUUGGAAACGGGAGCAUCCGAAAGGCUAGGAGGGCCGAUGGCGAGUGCAAGAGAAGAAGACAGCCCAGCGGGAUCCCCCGAAAGGCAAGAGGGUCUAGCAGUUAAAACCGGAUUGGAGGAUGCAGCCUCAUGAAUGGGCCCACAAGCAAGCUGGGACCCCUAACCGAGAGGAGGGCAGGCCGCAAGGGUCGGGUUUGGGCUCGUCUCAUGGCCCGCGAGAGGCGAGGCCAAGCCCGAUCCAGGCGGAGUAGUAUGAAGCGAGUCACGGGUGUUUUCCUCCGGAAUGGAGGUUGCAGCCUCAUGAAUAGGUCCACAAGCAAGCUGGGUCCCCUGUUCGAGAGGAGGGCAGGCCGCAAGGGUCGGGUUUGGGCUCGUCUCAUGGCCCGCGAGAGGCGAGGCCAAUCCCGGUUCAGGCGGAGUCGUAUGAAGCGAGUCACGGGUGCUUUCCUUUCCUCUCCUCAAACAGCUGCUUAAUCCGUUGUACAACCAAAACAGGGUCGAAAUGAACGUUUCGAAAGAUCAAAUCAUUCCUGGCCUUCCAAAUGGUCCACCAGCAAGCGAUCAAUUCAGAUAAGUUAUUUUGCUUAUUAUGCAUCCCUUUCUUGGCCAACCACCUAUCCCAGAUGUAACGUACGUCUUCUUCCAUCUCCCCAGCCUGAACUCCUCGAAUCAUCGCCAAACUUCCUCUCGAAUCAUCCCAUCUUCCCUUCAAUUGAAGUUACUACUUAAAUAGUUACGAUGAUGGCAUAUCCUGUAAAAGAUUCCGUAAAACUUUAAAAAACAAAAAAAAAAAAAACGAAAUACAGAAGUGCCAUUAUUCAGCUUAAUAAUUAUUGAUUGCAAGUGGUGGAGAGAGAGAACUGUUCACACGAUUGUGGACUCUCAUUUAAUUUUCUUGUCGACAUUUUGAUAGACACUUUUCUCUUGCAUUUAAUUUUUUGUGAUUAAUUUUUAAUAAUUUCGUAGAGACAUCUAUAAUAUUUUGUAAUUUUUGAUGGAUAUAUUUGAAAUUGGCCCUCUAUAUAUUUGGACGUGUUUGUAUUUGACAAUCGGCAACUCCGGUCAGAUGUCCUUGGUAGAUGUACCCUCGAAACCGUGCUCUGUUGGAAGUCUGUGUUAAGCACUCCUAUCUGUGUUAGGCACUCCUAGCAGCUAGGUGUUUCUUCUGCUUCUGUUUGUGCUUGUUUGCCGUGUCCCUUACGGUCGUGUAGUGGCCUCUUUGUUACUUGGUCGUGUGUUGGGCUUAGGGAUGCAAACGGGGCGGAUCUGGGGCGGGGGGGGCCCCGCCCCGCCUCCCGAUCCGACUACAAAAAGUCCGCCCCGCCUUCCGUCCAGAAUCCGUGACGAGUUGAAAAUAGUUAUCCCAUAAUCCGCCCCGCCUUAUAACCUGCCUCCCGCCGGCGCCCCGAAUCCGCCCCGCGAAAUAGUAUUUAUUUUAUAAAUUAUAAUAUUAUUAAUAUUUUAUAAAUAUAAAUCAACAAAAUUUUUAAUAUUAAUUGAUAAUAUUAUGAACUUAUAUAUAAUUAAUAAUAUCAACUAUAAAAAUCAAAAAUAUCAAUCACAACACGCAACAAAAUUCAAAAAUUUUAAAUACAUACAUAUGGAAAAAUUUUAAAGACAUACAUUUGGGGCGGAUUCGGGGCGGAUUCGGGGCAGAUCAUGGCGGGGCGGAUUCGGUGCGGAUCAAAAAUUUUUUCGUUUCCUGCCCCGAAUCCGCCACGGAUCAUAAAAAUUGCCCCGUUUCCUGCCCCGAAUCCGUUUAUUUCCUCCCGUUUACUGCUCCAUUCAGGGCGGAUCGGGGUGGGAGCUCCACCACCCCGGAUCCAUUUGCAUCCCUAGUUGGGCUCUUUACUGCUUGGUUUAAAGAGCCACACACCGCCCCCUCUCUGCUCCUGUCUCUGUAAAACAGGGUUUACCCCUGUUUAAUCAAAAAUAUAUUUGGACGUGUUUGGUUAGUUUUCUUUUACUCUGGAAUCGGAAUGGACGAAUCUGCUUAUGAAUGUUUGGUAUGCGAAAGUCCCAUUCCGAUUCCGAUUCCCGAAUGGAAAGAAAAUUUUCCAAUCAUCUCUUUUUCCAAUCCGGUUUAAGAGGCCAGAUUGGAAGUUGAAUCCAGACGGAAUGGAUAUUUAUUCGGAUUAAAUUUAUUUUUUCAAUUUUUUUAAUUAAUAUGAGUUUAAAUUUAGAAAUUAAAUAUAUAAUUUUAAAUUUUAAUUUGAACUUGAAUUAAAAAUUAAAAUUUAAUCAAGUAUUUUGAAUCUAACUUAUAAAUUUGAAUUUAAAUUAAAUUUUAAUUUAUAUUAAGUUUUAUUCAAAUUUUAUUUAAAACUUAAAUUAAAUUUUUGGAUUCAAAUUAAAAUUAAAAUUAUAAUUUUAAGUUUGAAUUUGAAUAAAUCGAAAUUAGUUUUAUAUUUUGAAUUAUCAACUCAACUUCAAAGUUUAUUUAAAAAAAAAAAAAUAGAUUUAAAAUUUUGACAUUAUUACAAAAUUUUGAUAUAAAUUUUUAAUAUUUAAUUUUUUAUUUGAAUUUAAAUUAAUAUAUUAUAAAGAUAAAGUUAAUAUAUUAAUUUGAUUAUGUUUUUUAUACCUAUCUGAACCAAACACCGAUAAUGGAAAUGAUUUAUUUCGAUUUCGAUUUAGGUGAUGAAUCAAAUAGAAUUAGGUAAUGAGUUAUUCCGAUUCUGAUUCCAGUUUAUUUCGAUUCCAAUUCCGACUUCGAACCAAACAAUUUAGGGCUAGUUUGAUUUGCUCUUUAUUAACCCCAAAUCAGAAUCGAAAUGAUAUCUUUGGAUAAUGCAAUGAAUAAUUCAAUCUAGCUAUUCUAAUUUCAAUUCCAACUUUGAAUCAAAUAUUUUCUUUAUAGUGCAAAUUGUUAAACAACCGUUAUACUCUAAAAUUUUAAACUCUAAAAGUUUAAGAGUUUAAGCUUUUAGAGUAUAACAGUUGUUUAAUAUGAUAUCAGAGCAGAAAAUUUUUAAUUCGACUCACGUCAAACUCCUACUAUUAUUAAUUUUUUUCUAUUUAAUUCAAGUUUACGUCGUGAACCAUCAAAAAGUGUUUAGUCCUAAUAUGAAGGAGAUUGUUAAAUAUAAAAAUAUUUAAAAUAUUGUUCUCUAUCAAUUUAAGUUUUUAAAGUUCAACGGUUGAUUAACAAAUAAGUUUAAAGACCGACCGUCUCUAGAGCAAGUGGCAAAGGACUUGGCGGUUGGUAUUCGAGACCCAAGUUCGAAUCCUAGUUGAUUCACAUUUCUAGCUAAGUUUAUUUCUAAAUGAAAUAAACGAAGCGGGUUGCGUUCUACCUAUCUCUCUCAAAAAAAAAAAAAAAGAAAGAAAAAAAGCACAAUUAAGGUAUCAAAUUAGGUCGUGCGGGUCUGUGUACGUUGUGACUAAUUGCUCUACAAUAGGACUUAAACGAAAGACUAAUCAUUCAAUUUUAGUGUAAAAUAACGGAUUUAACUCCCGUCUAGAGCCGCUUUGACAAAAUUAACUUGUUGCUAUCAAAAUUAAGUUUGAUCAUCUGCAAAAUUAACUUGUCGCUCUCAAAAUUAAGUUUUCCUUCAAUGCUUUAUUACAUUUCCUAAAAAAAGAAAUUUCAUAAUAAAAUAAGAAAAAAAAAAACUCUAUCAACAGUAGUCCUUCCUAAUUGGUCCAAAUGAGAAACUUUUGGCAACAUAUAGAAAAGAGAAUUCUGCUUUUAUUUAUCAAAAUUGAUUAAACUUACAGAUCAUUACAUUUCAGCCAUCAAUUGUGUUUAUUUUUGACAACUUUUUCUUAAGUCUUGCAAACCAUACUCUAGAGGUUACAUAGAGAGUGUCAUACAAGCUAUCUACAUAUCGAAACCACCAAAUCCUAAAUCUUUUAUCUAUCAACAAAACUCCAGUAAUAGUCCAAAACCCAACUGCAAAUCCUGCUAUUGUAAUAAGACAAAGGAGUAAGAUCUCUUUUUGAUUUUUGUCUGUAUUUGCUGAAAAAUCAGAUCCUGCAUGACCAUUAACAGUUGGAGUAUGACUCACUUGGCCAAUUGUCGGGCCUUCGGCUUCACCUUCAUUGCCUGUGCAACUCACAUUUAAUGGAAAUCCGCAAAGAUAUUGGUUUCCGACGUAUAUGUUAGGAUCAGGGAAUGUGUCCAUUUGUUUUCCGGUCGGAAUUCUUCCCGAGAAGUUGUUGUAAGAUAAGUCCAAGAAGUCCAAGAAGCUUAAGUUGGACAAGCUAGAAGGAAUUGCUCCUGAUAACUUGUUUCUCGACAAGUUGAGAGAUUCUAGCUGCAUCAUAUCGCCGAUCUUGGAUGGUACUUGUCCCGUUAGAUCAUUACUCGACAAGUCGAAUACCAACAAUCCGAGAAGAUUUGUUAGUUCAUCGGGUAUGUGUCCUGACAAGCUAUUCCUAGAGAGAUCCAAGAUUGUCAUCUGCGAAAGAAGAUUGCUACCAUAUUGAUCUUCUCUUCUUUUGAUGUCCAAUAUCAUAUUCUCAUCAUAAUUAUAUACUGAGAAGUUUAGGAUAGAUCCUAUGUUUAUAAGAGGGGUCCUCAUCGACAUGAAGUUGCCGAAGCUUAUCGGUAUCGGCCCUGAAAGAUUGUUGUUUGCAAGGUCUAAGAUUAGGAGACCAGCAAGAUUAGAGAGUUCUGUCGGAAUUCGACCAACAAGCUUAUUUGAUUUCAAGCUAAGAAUCUUGAGAGACGAUAGCUCUGCAAGCCAGAUCGGGAUCCUUCCUGUAAACACGUUACCACCAAGAUCAAGAGUAUCUAGACUCUUGCAGGCCCUUAAGGAUAAGGGAAGCUCUCCCGAUAAAUUGCUAUUCCUUAGGUGCAAGGAUUGAAACCGAGGCAAUUCACAAAGCCAUUUGGGUAUUCCUCCAGAAAGAUUAUUAUUUGAAAGAUCCAAUACUUCUAAUUGAGUAUUAUUUUGACAGUUUGGGAGCACUCCUGAUAAAUUAUUGUUUGAGAUUGAUCUGGUAAUCAAUUGUGAAUCACAGAUAGACACAGGGAUCCUGCCACUUAUUUUAUUCAUCGACAACGAAAGCACACUUAAAUUAGGCAUUAGCUGGAAAAUAUCAUCAGGAAUAGAGCCCAUAAAUGAAUUGUUUGACAAAUAUAGUUGUGCCGUGUUUGACGGAAAAUGGGGCACUGGUCCCUCAAAGAAGUUGGAACUUAAAUCAAUAAAUAAAUCUGUAUCAUCACUGAAUUUUAUUAAGUUGGGUAUCACACCAUGUAGCUCAUUAUUAGCAAGAUUAACAGUUGAAAGAUUGGUCAUUGAGUUCCAAAACCAAUUUGGCACUGAAUCUGAAAUCCCCGUAAAAGAUAGAUCGAGGUAGGCUAGAGACUUCUGAGUCUGAAGCCAUGAGGGAAACUGGGGGCCUAGUUUACAGCCGCGGAAGACCAAAUCACUGAGUUGGAAAGGAGGAACCCAAUUGUGGCUCAGAUUCAAAACCAACGAGUUAGAAGUCAGGUCGAUGAUCUCCAACUUUGUAAGAUUAGAAAAAUGAUAUUCUGAAAUAACUCCGAUGAGAGCGUUGAAGCUAAGAUCCAAAGAUUUUAGCUCACUAAGGCUUCCAAGACAUUCCGGGACAUUGCCAUUUAAGUUAUUGUGAUAAAAAUAUAACAACUGUAAUGUGGAUAGUUUACAAAGAAAGGUGGGGAUCGAACCGGAGAGCGAGUUUCCUGAAAGAUCAAGAGUACUUAGAUUGUUUAGGUUACCUAUCCAAUCCGGUAUGUUGCCGCUUAGAGAAGUGAAAUCUAAAUCCAAGUCUCGCAAACUGUUUUGGAGACACCCAGAAAACAACUCACCGAAUGUGUCCAAUUGGGUGUUAAUUUUGGAAUCUGUUAAAUAUAGCGUGCGAAGCUCACAGAGAUUGCUCAAACUAGACGGUAUUCCGGCAUCAAGGUCAACAAACUCUAGUUCGAGAACCUUGAGCGAAGUCAAGUUUCCAAUUCCAGAUGGGAUGAGCUCAGUAAAUUUACUAUAACUGAGAUAAAGAUACUGAAGGGAAGUAAUUCUAAACAACCACUCGGGUAAGCUAGAAUUUACUUCGCUAUUAUUAGAAAAAUCCCAAACUAAUGCGCCAGAAAGAUCCAAAAGGGAAAGAGAGGUAAAAUUGACAUACGGGAGGGAUUGUGGGAGGUUAUCCAAUUUGCAGUACGCCAAACGAAUGUCUUGUACUAAAGGAAGCAUGUUCAAUGCUUGUAGGCAAUUAGAUGUAUUCUCAAUCGAAGAAUAGCUAAUAUCAAUAUGAAGUAGAGAGGUGAGUUGAGAAAGCCAAUCAGCAUUACUCAAUGUAAGAUUGUUACCGGAAAGAUCGAGGGUUUGAAGUCUUGAUAGAUUUCCGAGCUGAGCGGGUACCACCCCGCAAAAAUACGAAAACGAG